CAUUAGAAAGUAUACAGUGGACAUGGGCACUGAUUAAGCUCAGUUGCCUUGUAAGGUUUCUCUACAAUUUAAAACUAAAGCAUCUUGCAGCAGGAUCUAUUUGUUCCUAAGAAUUCGAGUCUAACAAAGAAAUGUUCUAGGACAAUGCAGGGAAAUUGCCGUCUUAACAAUCAGAAAAAAUCAUGAUGAUUGUCCUCAUAAAACCUAUACAUUUACCUAAGGAAUGGUGCCCAACAUGCUUCAGUUCCCCCCGGGCUUAUGGUUGAGCCCCUUAUUGCAUGGUCCGCUUUACGUUUUUAAGAAAGCAAAGAGUACUCAUCAUAAGAAUAUUGUUGAUUAAAUAAUGGGCUCGUUUGGAAGGGUUUUUAAAAUGAUCGAAAACGCGUUUAAUGAAAAUGUUUUUGGGUUCGAAAAACACUUGAAGUGCUUCAUUCACUUGCAUUUUUAGUAAGGAUUGGUCUCAAAAUCAUUUUAACAAAAAACGUUUUCAGUUAUUUAAAAAGUACUUCCAAACGAGCUUGAUAUUAUAUUUCGGCCACAUAAGUAGUUUAAAUUCAUUAGCCUCUCAUAUGCAUAAGUCAUAAGGCAACCAAUCAUUUGCUAAGUCCAAGGCAUACAACAUAAAUCUUAAUGCUAGUGAUGUAUGCUUACAGUUUCUAAACAAGCAGAUAUAAUUUGUCAUGCCCGGCAAUGCGUCUAUCCCACGCUGUAUGUGAUCAAGCGUAAAUAUUAAACAUAUAACUGAAGACAUACCAAUUGAGCCUACGAUGACAAACUGGAAAUUAAAAAACCAUCCAAGAUAUUGAAGCCAAAGAAAUAAGGCCUACCUUCUGUUCAACUCGAGUCUUGUAUAUAAUGUUGGAUAUAUGUCAACAAUCUAUGAUAAACUUGCAUAUACUAAUAAUAAAUAUAUUACAGAGAAUAAACAAGAUGAAAUAUUAUUUAAGCAGAGAAACAGAAGAUCGAGGCUUGCGUACUGCAAUGUUUUUGAAACAAAAAUUUCGUCCAUACUCAGUGCUUGUAGUUUUACAGACGUCUGCUUCACCAAGAUUCAACGAUCUAAGUUAGAAUUCCAACACCGGAAAACUAGACUUCUGGCGAAUUUGUUUGUGGUACUCUUAGUAUGCUUGGUAUAUAAGGAUUGAUGAUUUUCAGUGUAUUGAAUGAUAUGUAGAUGCAUGUAUUUAUAGUGAGCAUAUGUCUAUUUGCAACAUACAUGUUUUUAGGAGGCGACUGUUCAAUGCAAAUGGUGUGUUGCUUCAUGUGUUUCUCAGAUAUGUUCAUAGGCUCUCAGACUUCAUCUGAAAGGAUGAGUUUUUUCAUAAAAAAUAAUUUAAUUAAAUUCGAAAUUAAUUAAAUUUUUUAAUUUUCAAAGCCUGGCGAAUUUGUUUGUGGCACUCUCAGUAUGCUUGGUAUAUAAGGAUUGAUGAUUUUCAGUGUAUUGAAUGAUAUGCAGAUGCAUGUAUUUAUAGUGAGCAUAUGUUUAUUCGCAACAGACAUGUUUUUAGGAGGCGACUGUUCAACACAAAGGGUGUGUUACUUCAUGUGUUUCUCAGACAUGUUCAUACACUCUCAUACUUCAUCUGAAAGGAUGAGUCUUUUCAUAAAAAAUAAUUUAAUUAAAUUCAAAAUUAAUUUUCAAAGCCCUCCCCCCAGGCCCAUCUAUUGAUAAUUACACCCCAAAGCCCAACCUCAAGGGUGAGUCCAAUUUUAUUCUCCAAGAUCCAUCACUCAAAUUACUUUUUAUAAGGGACAAAACCUUAUAAAGUGAGGAAAUCUUGUGGUGGUGAGCAACGUGGGAUAAUGAAAUUCUAUUCAAAAUUUCUAACAUAUAAACCCUCCACAACAAAACAGUGUCGAUGAUGCAGUGAAUCUGAUCUGAGACAGAUCGCUCAAACAUCAACUUCAGCUAAAAAUAAGGCUAUACUGGAUUGAUUAUAAGGAUGUGUAUGAUAGACCCCCCACCGUCCCUCGCAAAGCGAGGAACCUUGUUGGCUUUGGGUCGCCUUUUUAAUCUGUUUGUUGCCAUUGAAUGCCUAUACAGCAUACGAUGCAGUUGCUCACAUCACAUGUUUUAGUUAUCGAAUUUUAUCAUGGCAAUUGAUAAAUAUUUGUAGUAUGGAUAUUUUUCAGUAGGAACUGGCUUACUUGCAGGAUACACUCCAAAUGUAGCCCAUCCCGUUGUAAUCUCUCCACUUUUGCGCCUGCCUAUGUUCUGCGAUUGAGCAAACCAAGCUCUUUCAGUUGAUAUUAUUACAAACCACUACUGGUAUCAAUUUUCAAGACAUUUACCCACUCAGUCAGCCAAUUACAUUUCACCAGCAAGUUCGACUGCAAGAAGUGUCGCUUUAAUACGAUUUGGCACAUUGCAUCUCCAGAACUUGUUCUCUUAAGAUAGGUUAUGUUUCUCCACAGUUUGAAACAUGAGAGUUUUAAGAGAGCAAUAUGAGCUUACCGCACAUUUUGGCAAGCAAAAACUGGAUGGGCUCAUAACCCUCCACUGGGUAGUGAUAUUUAACUUCAUAUGGAGUAUCACGUGCCCUUUCACCUGAAAAUUACAAAUAGGAAUUAAGAAGACGUUGUUGUAACUUGUAAGGGAUAUCAACACCCACUGCAGUAAAGAUACCCUUACAUCUCCAUGCAACAGUUGAGAUUGUGGGUGAGGGUGACAAAGUUGGAGGGGGGCUCCCAGUUGCUCCCGACCCUAAUAACUUAACAUCCAGGCCAUUUUCUGGUAAGACCUGCAAAUAUUUAAUCAAACUGAGGACAGAUAAUUUGAACAUUUUAUUUACUUAUAAAUGGUUUUGCAUGCAUCAAAGUGUACGGAAGCCGAGCACCUUAAUAUUAGGUCUUUGCACCAAAGUGGAAAAGGAAGCAAUAUUGCAGCCAUAGAAAGGGUUACACGUCUCUGUUCGGUCCCAAAGCUGCAAAAUGCACUUUAUAGGUCAGAUUGAUGGAGGCUACUUUUUUCUUUUCUGGUUUAGGGGAAGGAGAUGUUAAACGACUCAUCCCAUACCUAAACUCGCAGUGAGACUUUUCAUAGCCUAAUUGAGUCAUGCCAUCGUAAACCUGCAAGUUCACAAAAGAUACAUAUUAGUCCCCAAGCUAACAUUCAACAUGCAGCAUGUGUUGGAUAAUUAGGUGAUGCAUAUUCUGUCCACUUCACACAUUUUCGGUGUUCAUUCAUCUUCAGAAAAAUAAGAUCAAAUAUUCAAAGUUGGCGCAAUAUGUAAUGAUUGCCUCAACAAAUAUUUAACGUUACAUUUUACCAUAAUGAAUUGACAAUGAAUUGAACUGUGGAGGAAUUAAACUUUGAAUUUUUGUUCAAGCUGUUUUAUAUAAUAGUAAAGGGGUGUGCUAUUUACACACAUUUUUUACUUCUCACACAUCCCUUAUUAAUUUAUGUUCUUUGAUCUUUUUCAAUUGAUCUGAUCUGGUGACCGAAAAUUAGAAGAGUGUGUGAGAAGUAAAAAUGGGUGUGUGGAUAUCACACCCCAAUAGUAAAUGAGAAAGCUUAAAACUUUUUAAAAUAAUGCGAGGAUAUAAUGGGUAAAAGGUGAAUUGGUGAUAAAUUGUUAUUCAAAAUUAAGAGCUAAAUUUAUGGCAACAAUUGUUAUUGUCACUUUAUCAUUGACUUGUUUAAUACAUAUUUGAUAAUUAACCAUGUCUGUAAUUUGAUUAGUUUAUUUUGUUUUUUUGCAUGAUUAUUUUAAAAUGUAUAUAAUAAAAUUAUGUUAAAUUCAAAAAAUUUUAUUGUUAGAAAUUCAACAGCCUAGAAAUAUAGCAGUUGAAAAUCCAACGGUUCGGAACAUACCAAGUCGCCCCUCUCAAUCGGGUGUGAGGGCGUCUGCCAAGCGGGCCUCGCUACCUACUUUUGGUUGGCCCAAAAACUUGAACUCUUGCGAACCGCACGUGCCUGACCCAAAAUCUCACCUCAAACGGACAGGCGCGUGAGAAUGGCCCGAUUGUUAGGUCUGGGGGGUUGGGCCCGCUGAAUGGCCCCAAGGUAGGCUGGAGCUGUUUUUGCUGGAGUGGGAGGAUUGACUCACUCAAUUGCAAGGGCAAUUCAAAGAGGUGGAGGUGGAGUUGCUCCAACUACUCUGCAGACCAAAAAAGGGUAGAGAAAUUUUCCAAAAGUAAAAGAAGAAAAAAGAGAAAAGUGAAAAUUGAUGACAACAACAAACAAGUGUUAAAAAUUGGAAGAAAAGGGAAAAAGGAAAAAAAACAACCCAAAAAUAAAAAGCCACAAGAAACCAUAUUCCAAAAUGCAAAUUCCAUUCCAUUUUAUAUUUUUCCAAAUUCCUAAAACAAACAAAAAUAAGGAAAAUUAAUAAAAAUAGUUUGAAAACUUUGUGUUUUAACGAUAAAUAUAAAAUAAAAUGUAAAGUAAAUAGUAUUAGAAUUAACCUUUUAGUGUAAAAAUAUAAUUUUUUAUUAAAAUGAACAGUACUGGAAGAUUUUCGUUAAAAUUUAAAAAAAAAAAAAAAGCAAAAAAGCAUUGAAAAUUCCAAAAAACAAAAACAAAAAGGCCUCCAAACACUCCCACACACAAUAGAGAGAAGCAGCACCUCUCAACCUCGAGCUCCGCGCUCCGCGCUCCGAUUCUCUGUAAAGAAACACAAUCGAACAGAAGAAUUACGAUCAAAGCUUCAAACUUUCCCAUUAAUUUCACAAAAUUUGAGCGCCAAAAUCCAUCGGAGCUUCGGCAAAAACCUGGAAACUAUCAUUAUUUACAAGCGUCUUCAAUCGCAGAGAGCCAAAUGUACGAACCCCACCGGCCGCAGUCGAAAACCCAAACCCUAGAACUAUGCCGCCGGGACUCGCAGUGACGGAACUUUCAAACCCUAGAAAUAGCCAAGCAUUCCGUGGGGUGGGUCGCGGCGCAGAAGCGGUGGCUUCUGGCUUUUCUCGUCAUGGUCUCCCUCUCUACCAUGAUCGCCUUCUUCAUCAGAGCCGCGUUUGACACCUGCGAUCGCGGCGGCCUCGACGUCGUCGAUAAGAGGGUUCCGCUGGGGGCGCCCAUUGGAACCAGUCCUAGCCCCCUCAGCUUCAUGAAGUCCAAGCUCGUGCUCUUGGUCUCCCACGAGCUUUCUCUUUCUGGUAAUGUCUCUGUCUCCAUUAGAUUGUUCAUUUUUAUGAAUUUAAUGCAUUUUUUAUAUUAAUCGUGUUUAAUUAGUUGUGUUAAGUUUUUAAUGACUUAUUAGAUUAUACAAACAUAGAAAGUUAGCAGCUUUAGAUGAAAAGCACCACUUGUAUCGGUGGAAUCUGUGAGCAUUAACUGGUUUUCGAUAACCCAUUUGACAAUAAGUCCUUUCCUGUCUCGCAUUAAAUACAGCACCAGAAACUUUGGCACCAACUUCCUUCAUCUUGGCAACAAUCGAUUCGGCCUCCUCCUUCGUAACCCCCCUUCUUCAACAGCGUAGGUGACACGCCCCGAUCCCGAUAUUUCCCCGAAUACUAGGAUAGGCACGUGCUGGCCGACACCCGAGGGUGACGAAAGCCAUUUAUUGAGUGUAAUUGCUGAAAAUAAAGGAUAGAUAAAACUUAUAAAUGUAAAAGAAUAAGGAAUAUGCAUUUAAGGAACGUGUUCAGAGCAUACAACUAACUAGAACACUAAAGAAAAUAAUAUGAAAUUAGAUGAACAAAGAAAUGGGUCCUACAUCGAGAGGACUCGAAGAUACCGAAGCGGAAGUGCCUGGAUGCCGGGAUUGUACGCCUCGAUUCUAAGUCCUGAAGGGGGCGCAAAACAAACAUGAGUGGACCGAUUUGAUAUAAAUAUAAUAAAACAAUUAACAACUUACUAACCCCCAGGUUUUAUGAAAACACAUAUAUAAUGAUAAACAUAGGUUUUCCGAAACCUAGCAUGAUGUGCAGUAUCUCAAAUCAUAACUCAUAUAUAAUAAUCACUAGUGAAUUGUCCGAUAUAACCUCCAGGCCCCAUGCCGGCUCCCCGUCUCUGAGCAGACAGUCAGAGGAAAAUACACUUCAGGCCCCAUGCCGGCUCCCCGUCCCUGUGCUAAAUAGCCAGAGGAAACAUACUCCAGGCCCUAUGCCAACACCAAACCGUCGCCCGGGACGGACCGGAAUCUAUCCCUACGUCCCGUAGCGGAAAGGACCACUAGGUAGGUACAAAACCAUUGAACAUAUAUAUAUUGAAAAACAACUUCAUAGUAUAAAGUCAUCCAUCAUCUAUACUAUAAAGAGGUGUUCGAAACAUGUUCUAAAUAUCAUAUCGUCAUCCAUCAGAUAUUCUAUAAGAACACGGGUUAUAGGAAAAAUAGUAAUAAUUCAAAAUAGCCUCAGUAAGCAUGUUAUCUCACAAAACGUUUCAUAGAACAUAAUCAUCAAAUCAUGUUUUUCAUGUAUGCAUUUCUACUAUUAAAACAUGCUUUUGAAGGGGUCCACUCACAGUACUUAGCCGUCGAAGAGCCACGCAAACUAACGAACAAGAAAACGUCACCAAUAAUUGCCCCUAAGCACAUAAAGGGUCCAAUUAAUAAAACUCUAUUUUAACAAUUGAAUUUGGGAAAACAGACGUUGGAAACGGAUUCAGAACGUCGAAUUACCCUAAGAAGGGUCCCGGACAAAAACCCGAAAAGUCAACCCUAAAGUCAACGUUGACCGGGGUCAACGGUCAAAUUAGGUCUAACGGGUUUUAGGCUUGAAAUCUGGAUUAAGGUUUAGGUUUAGGUUAAAUAGGAUUAGGAUCUAUUGGGUUUUGGAAUUCUAAGGUUUUGGGUUAAAAGGGUUUUGGGUGAAGAAAUGUGGUUUGGGCCUAAGCCCAAACACAUACACACCACAAACACACAUACACAUGCACGGCAUGCACAUGCAUGCAUGGCAUGCAUAUACACACACUUAAACACACACACACAAACUCACACACUCACACAGCACACACACACUAAAUAUACAUACACACACACACGGGUACACACUCACACACCCACACAAUCUAAAACACACACACACAUGGCCCAAAGGCCUCACAACCAAAAGGGUUGGGCUCAGAGGGAAGCCCAAAGGCUUGGUUGGUGGGUCGCCGGACCCAAUGGGAGAGAAAGCCGAAUUCGGCCGGAAANNNNNNNNNNNNNNNNNNNNNNNNNNNNNNNNNNNNNNNNNNNNNNNNNNNNNNNNNNNNNNNNNNNNNNNNNNNNNNNNNNNNNNNNNNNNNNNNNNNNNNNNNNNNNNNNNNNNNNNNNNNNNNNNNNNNNNNNNNNNNNNNNNNNNNNNNNNNNNNNNNNNNNNNNNNNNNNNNNNNNNNNNNNNNNNNNNNNNNNNNNNNNNNNNNNNNNNNNNNNNNNNNNNNNNNNNNNNNNNNNNNNNNNNNNNNNNNNNNNNNNNNNNNNNNNNNNNNNNNNNNNNNNNNNNNNNNNNNNNNNNNNNNNNNNNNNNNNNNNNNNNNNNNNNNNNNNNNNNNNNNNNNNNNNNNNNNNNNNNNNNNNNNNNNNNNNNNNNNNNNNNNNNNNNNNNNNNNNNNNNNNNNNNNNNNNNNNNNNNNNNNNNNNNNNNNNNNNNNNNNNNNNNNNNNNNNNNNNNNNNNNNNNNNNNNNNNNNNNNNNNNNNNNNNNNNNNNNNNNNNNNNNNNNNNNNNNNNNNNNNNNNNNNNNNNNNNNNNNNNNNNNNNNNNNNNNNNNNNNNNNNNNNNNNNNNNNNNNNNNNNNNNNNNNNNNNNNNNNNNNNNNNNNNNNNNNNNNNNNNNNNNNNNNNNNNNNNNNNNNNNNNNNNNNNNNNNNNNNNNNNNNNNNNNNNNNNNNNNNNNNNNNNNNNNNNNNNNNNNNNNNNNNNNNNNNNNNNNNNNNNNNNNNNNNNNNNNNNNNNNNNNNNNNNNNNNNNNNNNNNNNNNNNNNNNNNNNNNNNNNNNNNNNNNNNNNNNNNNNNNNNNNNNNNNNNNNNNNNNNNNNNNNNNNNNNNNNNNNNNNNNNNNNNNNNNNNNNNNNNNNNNNNNNNNNNNNNNNNNNNNNNNNNNNNNNNNNNNNNNNNNNNNNNNNNNNNNNNNNNNNNNNNNNNNNNNNNNNNNNNNNNNNNNNNNNNNNNNNNNNNNNNNNNNNNNNNNNNNNNNNNNNNNNNNNNNNNNNNNNNNNNNNNNNNNNNNNNNNNNNNNNNNNNNNNNNNNNNNNNNNNNNNNNNNNNNNNNNNNNNNNNNNNNNNNNNNNNNNNNNNNNNNNNNNNNNNNNNNNNNNNNNNNNNNNNNNNNNNNNNNNNNNNNNNNNNNNNNNNNNNNNNNNNNNNNNNNNNNNNNNNNNNNNNNNNNNNNNNNNNNNNNNNNNNNNNNNNNNNNNNNNNNNNNNNNNNNNNNNNNNNNNNNNNNNNNNNNNNNNNNNNNNNNNNNNNNNNNNNNNNNNNNNNNNNNNNNNNNNNNNNNNNNNNNNNNNNNNNNNNNNNNNNNNNNNNNNNNNNNNNNNNNNNNNNNNNNNNNNNNNNNNNNNNNNNNNNNNNNNNNNNNNNNNNNNNNNNNNNNNNNNNNNNNNNNNNNNNNNNNNNNNNNNNNNNNNNNNNNNNNNNNNNNNNNNNNNNNNNNNNNNNNNNNNNNNNNNNNNNNNNNNNNNNNNNNNNNNNNNNNNNNNNNNNNNNNNNNNNNNNNNNNNNNNNNNNNNNNNNNNNNNNNNNNNNNNNNNNNNNNNNNNNNNNNNNNNNNNNNNNNNNNNNNNNNNNNNNNNNNNNNNNNNNNNNNNNNNNNNNNNNNNNNNNNNNNNNNNNNNNNNNNNNNNNNNNNNNNNNNNNNNNNNNNNNNNNNNNNNNNNNNNNNNNNNNNNNNNNNNNNNNNNNNNNNNNNNNNNNNNNNNNNNNNNNNNNNNNNNNNNNNNNNNNNNNNNNNNNNNNNNNNNNNNNNNNNNNNNNNNNNNNNNNNNNNNNNNNNNNNNNNNNNNNNNNNNNNNNNNNNNNNNNNNNNNNNNNNNNNNNNNNNNNNNNNNNNNNNNNNNNNNNNNNNNNNNNNNNNNNNNNNNNNNNNNNNNNNNNNNNNNNNNNNNNNNNNNNNNNNNNNNNNNNNNNNNNNNNNNNNNNNNNNNNNNNNNNNNNNNNNNNNNNNNNNNNNNNNNNNNNNNNNNNNNNNNNNNNNNNNNNNNNNNNNNNNNNNNNNNNNNNNNNNNNNNNNNNNNNNNNNNNNNNNNNNNNNNNNNNNNNNNNNNNNNNNNNNNNNNNNNNNNNNNNNNNNNNNNNNNNNNNNNNNNNNNNNNNNNNNNNNNNNNNNNNNNNNNNNNNNNNNNNNNNNNNNNNNNNNNNNNNNNNNNNNNNNNNNNNNNNNNNNNNNNNNNNNNNNNNNNNNNNNNNNNNNNNNNNNNNNNNNNNNNNNNNNNNNNNNNNNNNNNNNNNNNNNNNNNNNNNNNNNNNNNNNNNNNNNNNNNNNNNNNNNNNNNNNNNNNNNNNNNNNNNNNNNNNNNNNNNNNNNNNNNNNNNNNNNNNNNNNNNNNNNNNNNNNNNNNNNNNNNNNNNNNNNNNNNNNNNNNNNNNNNNNNNNNNNNNNNNNNNNNNNNNNNNNNNNNNNNNNNNNNNNNNNNNNNNNNNNNNNNNNNNNNNNNNNNNNNNNNNNNNNNNNNNNNNNNNNNNNNNNNNNNNNNNNNNNNNNNNNNNNNNNNNNNNNNNNNNNNNNNNNNNNNNNNNNNNNNNNNNNNNNNNNNNNNNNNNNNNNNNNNNNNNNNNNNNNNNNNNNNNNNNNNNNNNNNNNNNNNNNNNNNNNNNNNNNNNNNNNNNNNNNNNNNNNNNNNNNNNNNNNNNNNNNNNNNNNNNNNNNNNNNNNNNNNNNNNNNNNNNNNNNNNNNNNNNNNNNNNNNNNNNNNNNNNNNNNNNNNNNNNNNNNNNNNNNNNNNNNNNNNNNNNNNNNNNNNNNNNNNNNNNNNNNNNNNNNNNNNNNNNNNNNNNNNNNNNNNNNNNNNNNNNNNNNNNNNNNNNNNNNNNNNNNNNNNNNNNNNNNNNNNNNNNNNNNNNNNNNNNNNNNNNNNNNNNNNNNNNNNNNNNNNNNNNNNNNNNNNNNNNNNNNNNNNNNNNNNNNNNNNNNNNNNNNNNNNNNNNNNNNNNNNNNNNNNNNNNNNNNNNNNNNNNNNNNNNNNNNNNNNNNNNNNNNNNNNNNNNNNNNNNNNNNNNNNNNNNNNNNNNNNNNNNNNNNNNNNNNNNNNNNNNNNNNNNNNNNNNNNNNNNNNNNNNNNNNNNNNNNNNNNNNNNNNNNNNNNNNNNNNNNNNNNNNNNNNNNNNNNNNNNNNNNNNNNNNNNNNNNNNNNNNNNNNNNNNNNNNNNNNNNNNNNNNNNNNNNNNNNNNNNNNNNNNNNNNNNNNNNNNNNNNNNNNNNNNNNNNNNNNNNNNNNNNNNNNNNNNNNNNNNNNNNNNNNNNNNNNNNNNNNNNNNNNNNNNNNNNNNNNNNNNNNNNNNNNNNNNNNNNNNNNNNNNNNNNNNNNNNNNNNNNNNNNNNNNNNNNNNNNNNNNNNNNNNNNNNNNNNNNNNNNNNNNNNNNNNNNNNNNNNNNNNNNNNNNNNNNNNNNNNNNNNNNNNNNNNNNNNNNNNNNNNNNNNNNNNNNNNNNNNNNNNNNNNNNNNNNNNNNNNNNNNNNNNNNNNNNNNNNNNNNNNNNNNACUCAAACUUGCUCCUCUUGAAUCCCUUCUUCCUAGUGGGACCUCCCAGUUCGGCCCUCCAGUCUGAAAUAUUAUGCAACAAUUGACAGUCAGCACAUGUUAGAAAUUUAGGCUUUUGUCACACGCCAUGCAACUUACAAAAAAAGCUAAAAUUUGUAGAAGCACUUACCAGAACAGUUGAGUCUCUAGCAGCAAGAGCCAAAAUGUCAGCACAAGACACAGUGCUGGGGCACUCCUUCUCCAAUGCAGACUUGAUUUCGUCAAUCACUUCGAACCCUCGCGCUGAAUUCUGGUUCGGGACAGACAUCUUUUCGGUGAUUACGUUCUGGCUGCUGUCCAGCAGAAUUGAUGCAUCACAACCCUGCAAAAUAGGUAGCAAGUAGCAACACAAUCUUAAGUACCUCAUUCACAUAGAUGUACGUGUAACUAGAAGCAACUGAGACACUUUUUGUGAUCGUAUACCUUCACGAAACAGUCAUGGAAAUGCAGCCUGAGCAAAGAAGCUGCCAUUCGGGUUUCCCUUGCAACGGCUUUCGCAACAACGGACUUGACAAUCUCUUUGGCUCUGGGGCAGGAGCGGUCAUAAAACUGUGGGUAGAGAUACCCACCAGGAGUUUUGUGACAGAAACAUAGUGGAGAAAAUGCAAGAAGAGAAAGAGCUAGAAGGAAGCUCAAAGAGUUGGCCAUAUAAUAAUGUGGUUUCUUGGAGAAGAAGACUUGAAAUUUGAAGACUUUGGUUUGAUGAAUCCUUUGGUUGGAUUGAUGAAAUUUAUAGAGGAGACUUCGUUUUUUUUUUGGGGGGGGGGGAGAGGGAGAGAGAGAGAGAGAGAGUGAGAGAGAAGCUGCAUGGAGUUGGUAGCUUACUAUUGCAAGCUGCUACACCAGUAGACAGGAUCAAAAGAGAAGGUUGGAGUUGGUAGCUUUCAUGCUUUUGAGCAGAUAACUAAAUCGUAAUUAUGGUAACUUCGUUUCUAAUUAAGAUGAUAAUUAGUUAGAAGGUCUUAUCUUGUUCUAGAGGAACAAAUCUUUUUUACUCACAAUGCAAAACUGCCAGACAGAGAAAAUAUAUUAGUACAAUGAACCUUAUAGAAAUUUAUUAGUACAAUGGACCUUGCAUCCUUAGUACAAUAUUUUGGUACACUAAUUGAUUGCAAGACCAUCAGAUCUUGAAAAAAUUUCAACGUAAUACUUGAAUACAAUCACGUGGUAUAAUUAAUCUACGUGUCACAAUAUAAACUAACCACGGUUCUUUAGAGUUGAAUGGCUACAGUGUCAAUCAAAUAUUCAUGAUACCGUAAUACAUGAACUGGUUAUACCACACGGUAUUUUAUAUUUAGAAUCCGAAAUCCAACUAGAUUGACAUGUAAUCAUUAUAAAGAAACAUUAAAGCCUCUUUCACUUCAUUAGGAGAUUGGCAUCUUUUAUAUUUUCAAAAUGAGAAUACUUCAAUAUUGGUGUUCGAUCACAUCAUUCAUAAGUAUUCUGAGCAAAAACGAGGAACUCCAUGCAUUUAGUUUCACCUGAUCCCGAACUAGUUCCGCCUGUGUAAAAAAUGCCCAAGUUCCGGCUUCCCGAAUAUGCUUGUAUCAAGGGGGGGAAAAAAAAAACCUAGUAUACAUGUCUUGUAUUAUUGUUUGCUUGCCUUCCUUACUAAUUCAUGAGUUCACAUUGAUUCCAUUAGUUGGUUAAUCAUUAAAUUUUUCCGUUAAUCAUGAAGCUUAUAUGCUCGUGGCUUUUUGACUUGAGGAUUAAUCCAAAGAAUACAGUGACAUAUUAGAAAAGUUGGUUAAUCCAAAGAAUAUGAUAACGGGAAUAUUAGGUUAAUCUGGACGGUCCAAUCUAUAAUAAAGAUAUCGUAGGCUGGGUAGGAGAACUACUUCUAUAAGCAUCCUCCCUAACAUUGCACUUGACAUAUUAACGAACAAGCGUAUGAGUAUUUGGUCUAGUCGCAUUCAAUUUUUACUUUGUUAAAGAAGAUUCUAAUUUCAAAGCUCAUAAACGAUAAUCGUUAAUUAAAAAAAAACAUGAUAUGAAAUGAAUUCGUUUGAAUCACAAUAUCACCGUGCAAUGAAAAUUUGAUCUCGUUGAAAGACAAACAUUUUGCGGUGAAACUUCUAAACCUUUGUGUGUUAUACAGGUACAAAUUGCACCAUAUCUUCUUUCAUUGCAGGAUCUAUUUGUUCCUAAGAAUUCGAGUCUAAGAAAAAAUGUUCUAGGACAAUGCAGGGAAAUUGCCGUCUUAACAAUCAGAAAAAAUCAUUAUGAUUGCCCUUAUAAAACCUAUACGUUUACAUAAGGAAUGGUGCCCAACAUGCUCCAGUUCCCCCGGGGCUUAUGGUUGAGCCUCUAGUCCGCUUUUCUUUUUAAGAAAGCAAAGAGUACUCAUCAUAAGAAUAUUGUUGAUUAAAUAAUGAGUUCGUUUGGAAGUGCUUUUAAAAUGACUAAAAACACAUUUAAUGAAAAUGUUUUUAGGUUCGAAAAGCACUUAAAGUGCUUCAUUCACUUACAUUUUUAGUAAGGAUUGGUCCCCAAAUCAUUUUAACUAAAAAUGUUUUCAGUUAUUUAAAAAACACUUUCAAACGAGCAUGAUAUUAUAUUUUGGCCACAUAUGUAGUUUAAAUUCAUUAGCCUCUCAUGCGCAUAAAUCAUAAGGCAACCAAUCAUUAGUCAUUUGCUAUGUCCAAGGCGUACAACAUUAAUGCUAGUGAUGUAUACUUACACUAUGUUUGGAUGGAGAAUUUCUAAAUUUUCAUAGAAUUCUAAAUGACGGGAAUUACAAUUCCCAGUAAUUGAAAUCAUGUUAAUUGAAAUUUCAGUGUUUGGAUGUUGGAUACAUGGAAAUUGCAAAAUGAAGGGAAUUACAAUUUUCAUUGUUUGGAUAUUCCCUAGAAUUUGUAUUCCAUAGAAGAAUACAAAUUUGAAAAAAGAAAAAUGUUAAACUGUUAACAAAGUCAUCAAUGAUAAAGGUCAUCAAACCCCCAAGAUUGGGGCUGCCAAACCCGCACUAAAGGGAAAACUGUCUAAAUUUUCCAGCAAUUAAGAACUUAUCAAAGGUUUGCAAUAAUAUUUCAUUGGAAAAAAAUGUUUGCAAUAAUAUGAUAAAAGUUGAUUGAAGUAGGAAAAUCCCUGUAAAGCACACUUGCAAAUAUCAACCAACAUUCGUGACAUGCAAGACUUUUAUUCUAACUAAUGUCUUACUGAAAAACACUAAAAUGAGAAACAUAAUGAAAACAAUCUUAUGCGCCUUGUGAAGUAAGCAAUAAUACCAUAUUCUUUUUCUUCUCAAUUGGGAGAGUCUUCAACAUGAGAAAUUGCUUGUCAUUUUCGAUCAACCAAGCACAUGCUUUGAUUUGUUCUUCUUCACUGAGAUCUAGUAUUGCAUUUACUUCAUCAUAUACCUCUGUUGGAUCAAGUUUCUUUGUGUCUGCAGAAAUAUAGUCUUGAAAUGAUGAAGCCAUCUUGGCAAGUGAAUCUGCAAUCACAUCUUUAGGCGUGGUUGAUUUUCUUUUUGUAUGAGGCACAUCAACAAAACUUGCUGCCUUUCUCUUGCUUUGAGUCUUUUGACCAUUGGUUGAACUAGGUGAAAUCUCAUUAAUAAUUUCAAUAUCUUCUAAACCUUGUGCAUCACCAACCAAAUCUACAUGAUCAGGUUCAUUAUGUGGAGGAGUCAUAAUCUCCACGGCUUCUACACCUGUUUCAGCACCCUCACCCGUCGCUCUAUCUUUGCCACAUAAAUCCACUAUAUCAUCCCAAUUUGGAAUGACCUUCCAACGAAAGCUUUUAGCACCAACAUGUGACUACCAAUCAAAACAUAAAAGAUCAAAAAGCAACAAUUAAAAGAAUUUCACACACAAAAGAAAAAUAAUGAAUUUGUUACCUUCACGUACUCUUGCCAGGCAGGGUCUUCAUCUACACUUAUCAUCUUUUUGGUUGCAUCCCAAUUAAAUCCACUUUGACUUAGUAUAUCACUCACUAUUGCAUAAAACUUUUUCCAAGACUUCACACGAUUUCGAAUGUUAUCUGCAAUGCCAAUGUAUCACGAAAUGCUGUCCAUUCGACUGUAGCUUGAACAGAUGUAAUCCCAUCAGAGUUAUUUUCAUUUUCCUCUCUUGUUGAACGAUUUAACAACUCUGAGUCGACAGAUGCUAAAAAUUGUAAAUCUUGAGCUUCUAAAACUGGAUCAGUAGCUUGCUCGGUUCUAAUAAAAUUAUGUAAGACACAACAUGCAUUUAUAAUCCUAACUUGUGUUUUAAUGUCGAAAAAGGAUGGUGUGCGUAAUAUGCUCCAUCUCUUUUUUAACAAUCCAAAUGCCCUCUCAAUAACAUUCCUUGCCCUUGAAUGACGCAAAUUAUAUAGUUCUUUGUAGUUUUCAGGUCGACGGUUUCCAACCCAUUCUUUCAAGUGAUAUCUAGUUCCACGGUAAGGUGCUAAAAACCCGGGUCCAUUAGUAUAGCCAGCGUCCACAAGAUAAUAUUUAUCUACAAUAAAAAAUUUAGAGAACAAAUUUAGAUAUAUUUUUAAGUUUUUUCUUUCUAAUAUAAAGCUAAUUGGUAUCAUACAUUACCAUUUGGAACAUGAAACCGGUUACUCCUAUGUAAAGCAUCACGCAAAACACGAGCAUCAGAUGCAGAGCCUUCCCAUCCAGGUAACACAUAAAAAAAUCUUAAAUCUGGACCACAAACUCCUAACAUAUUAGUGGAUAUAUCACCCUUUCUAUCUCGAUAUCUUGGUCUUUCCUCAGCCGUUAUUGUUACUGGUAUGAGAGUUCCAUCAAGUGCUCCAAGACAAUUCUAAAAAAAAUGUCAUACAAAUGAAAAAAGAAAAGAAAAGAUAAGUCUAAAAAGCUAAUGAAGAUAUCAAACGAAGACAUUUAUUUGGUAUAGUUGUUGAUUGAUUACCUCAAACCACCGCCACUUCUCUCUUUCAGAAUUGCCAAUAACACAUGGCUGAUAUUUCACAUAUUCUUGAAUAACACAUGGCUGAUAUUUCACAUAUUCUUGACUUAUUUUCAUCAUUGCAUGCAACACAUUGUGAAAUUGCCGACUAAUUGUUUCCUUGGAACGAUAAUAAUGAAAACCGAUGACUCUAAACUUCAAGUUGUGGGCAAGUAUAUUCAAAAAAAUUGCAACAGAUUCUUCAAUGGACACAUUUCUCGUGCGAACUAAUCCACCAAUCCCUUGUAAAAUUUCACAUAACUGCUUAAAUGCACUCUUGCUAACUCGUAAUUGUUCAAUGCACGUUGAAUCCUUUCCAUCGAACAAUCGGCCAAGGAAAGAUUGCCUUUCUUGAUCCCAAUCAUUUGAAGGUUCUUUGAGAAGAACACUCGUACUAUACCAAUGCAUGACCAUGACAAUAACAUAUAUAAUUGUGCUGACAAUAAUUUUCCUUUUUUUCCUAUUUUCCUCUUCAUUUAUAGCACGCUUUCACUUUAACCUCAUUAGCAUGUCUACAAUAUGAGUAUUUUCCAUACCUGUUUGAAUGUAUGAACAAAGAUAUAUUGUGAUAUAUGAAUGUAAACACACAAGGUUUUUUAGGCAAGAAUGAGGUGAUGCAACCAAAAAAACAAAUGAACUAACACCAAAGGCACAACAUUUGAUCAAUCUUGGCUAUUGUUAAUGUGAUCAUCGUAAACUUAUAUAUUUGAUAUAGAUGGGAUCUCUGAAUCCCAGUAGGACUAUACCAAUCCAACACUUAUUUAUAUUGCUAAAUGCAGCAAUGAAAGUCACGACUUUAAUCAUACUAGCAUCUGUAUUUUAGUUUUUUGACAGUUAACCUUCAAAAGCACAAUAUCUAUAACAAGGAACUAACACCAAAGGCCAUCAAAAACUAAAAAUGGGCUCAAUUGAUGGUGGUCAAAAACCAUGUGUAUGGUCAUCUCCCCAAAGAGGAUGUAAAAUUGACAUAAGAAAGCAGAUCUUCUACAACAGAUCGUUGAAUAUGAAGAAUAUUGUUGCAGAAGGAUUUGAUAUGGAUUACACAUUGGCACAGUACAAGCCAGAAAUCUUCGAGUCUCUUACAUACAAUGGAACUAUCUAGAAGUUGGUGUACGAUUAAGGAUACCCUCGUGAGGCUUGUCUAUUCUGUCUCUUACAUUUCAAGAAGAAAUUGAUAUUGCUAACAUAUCAGAUAUUCAAUUAAUCUGGUUUAAUAUUGCAAUUAAUCCAGUAGUGUUAGUGCUUUUUAAUUUCAACACUUAGCAUACAUCAUUUACUACCAUUUUAAAUUAUGAGCAAAUCAUUCCACCCUUCCUAGAUAAGGUUACAGAGCAAAUAGACAAUUCAAUCGGAGAAAUAAAACAUAAUAAGAUCACACCCAAAUGGCAAUUCAAUCGGACAAUUCACCCUUCCUAGAUAAGAUAGCACCCAAAAAUACAUGAUGCUUACAGUAAUAAGAUCGCAGCCUAAAAUACAUGAUCGCACCCAGAUAGGGAUGGAAUGAAACCAGAAAUACAUGAUGCUUACAGGAAGAUCGUACCCAAAAAGCUAAAAAUAAUUCAAGAUAGAAGAGAGUAGAGACGCUGACCUAGAACAAAGGAAGAAGAUGAUUCCACAAUCGAAAAUCCCUUCGAAGAUUGGAGAGUUAACAGAGUGAAGAUUGUGCAGCCCUUUUGUUGUGAAAUUUGGCGGUAGAUAUCCGAGUUUGGCGCCCUAAUCCUGAAGUUUGGCGCGCACAAAAUCUCCCCGCGGAUGAAUUCGGGAUUCUCAUCGUUGUUGGAAUUGUGAAAUUACACCUCUUUAGGCGGAAAUUAAACUCGGAAUUCUUCAUCCCUAAUUUCCACCUUUUUUUCCCGUAGAAUUUGCCGUUUCUCGCGCUGCAAGGUUCCCAAACGAGGGAAAACUGCUUUCCCAUCCUAAAUUCCCUAGUUUAAGUCAAAUUCUGUUUUAUUUUACCACAUCCAAAUGGAGUGUUACAGUUUCUGAACAAGCAGAUAGAAUUUGUCAUGCCCGACAUGCUUCUAUCCCACGCUGCAUGUGAUCAAGCGUAAAUAUUAAACAUAUAACUGAGGACAUACCAAUUGAGCCUAUGAUGACAAAUUAGAAUUAAAAAACCAUCAAAGAUAUUGAAGCCAAAGAAAUAAGGCCUACCUUCUGUUCAACUCUAGUCUUGUAAAUAAACCCUCCACAACAAAACAAUGUCGAUGAAGCAGUGAAUCUGAUCCGAGACAGAUUGCUUAAACAUCAACUUUAGCUAUAAAAAUAAGGCUAUACUGGAUUGAUAUAUAAGGAUGUGUAUGAUAGAUUUGUUUGGGUUAAUAUUUAACACUGGACUUAAUGUAUUGAGGCCCAAAGAUGUCACAACGGAAUGUGGACUUGCCCGAAGCCCAUCAAUAAAGCCUGAAAUAAAGUGAAGCCUUCUCAGCCAAGGUGCUAGGAUUAAAAGCACACCACAAAGUAGCAUACAAAUGUCCUAUUGAUUUUCCUUAUUAACACUAAGAUUUGUCAAUUGUAGCAUAUGAAAAUAAGAGUCUUUCCCAUAGAAGAUUGUUUUAUCUAACUCCUUAAUAUGUCACAAAAAUUGGGCUGAUGUCCCUACUGACCAGCCACCGAAAAAUAAUUAUUAGACUGACUUACACUUAUCUAAAGUCUACAAAAUUUUAUAUGCAGACACUAGACACAGAGAGAUACACUCGUACAAAGUUUUGGGAUUUUUGGAGUUGAUUUUCUAUUUAAAUUAAAUCAAACAAAAAUAGAACAGAAACAGAUUUUUAAGUAGUUCACAAAUUAAUAAAAACGAGUUAGGGGAAUUGCUAUCCACCACAAAAUAAUCAUGCAAACAUGUUAUGUUUCAUUCAAAUUUCUUUUAUUUCUGGAUGAAGAUACUCAAGUUGGCUCAAUGUUAAAACUCAACCUAUUACUCUUUCUUAUGUAGUAUGUUAAGAGAAUGGCGUUUUCAACUUAACUUAGUCCCUAGCAUGCAAUCGAGAAUGACGUGUUCAUAGAUUUAACAAGUAGAAAUCAUUAAGAACAAAAAGAGUUUGAGUCAUCACAAGGCAUCGUAAGUACUGGCGUUGUCUUACAUAUCAUAGAAAUUAGUUCACACGUUAAUCGCAAUUAACAAGUACUACUUUAUAACAUAUGUAGGUCCUCAUUCGACAAGGGCAAGCACACACAUAUUCAUAGCAUUAGAAUCCUAGAUAUGCUUACUAAGUAUGCAUCCAUAGAAAACAAAUAAAGAAUUCAUCAAUGAGACAAGUAGUGAACCGAUUUUCAUCCAUUCAUAAAAGUAAUUCAAACAAAAUGUCAUAACAAACUUACAAUCAUAUUCGGGGCUUGAAAACAACCCCUAACUACUAAAAAUUUAGUUACACACAAUUCCUAAGUUAAAACAAAAGAUAGACACGAGUUUGAGAAGAUAGAACCGAAAGAAAUCGACCGAGGCCUCCUCCUUCCUUUCCUUCAUUCCCCAACGUUGCUACCUUGCCUUUUCCUUCUGUUCUAUAUUUUUUUUCUCCUUAACUCACCCACUAAUAGCCAUUUAGUGAUGACAAUAAGUGAGAGGAAAUGGUAAAACAAUUGUAACUCUUUGGGUAGCAUUUAUGCCAAUUACUCCCUCUUAAUCCUCAUCUUUAAUUUCACUCCCUUUUAUAUUUGAAUAAGUGUCAGCUAACUUGUUCUUGGCUGCAUCAGUUUUGGCUGCUAGAUUUAUUAUGUUUACUGCUUUCAUUGCAAUUACAAACUGCUCGGCCUCUUGGUAACCUUUCCGUGUUAAAACGACCAUAACUUCUUCUAGAAAAAUGAUAUUAACAAUCCGUGAAAUACUCCAGAAAAUAGACAUCCGUAGCUUUCCAAGCAUAUAAGGCUCAUUCUCUAAUUAAUUCUGAGCUGUUUGCAAAUUGCUUCCAAAGUCAGCUGAUCUACACAUGCAGUUUUGACGAAUUUGUUACUUAAAAUCCCACUUGUGUUAUUUUUCCUUUCUUUGCUUGACAAAUCCCACAAAACACAAAAACAAAGUAAAUAGCUCAAAAAUAUAAGGAACUAACUAAGAAAAGACAAAUGAAUUUGAUGUAAAAUAUAUAAAAAUAUGAGUUUAUCACAAGGCAUAAGCCAUGUGCCUAUGACUGAAGUGACAAAUGACAGAGACCAGCUCACUAUCAGCCAAAAAGCACUUUUUGAUGGCAUAAAGGUGUAAAUACAAGAUGACUCACUACCCCUAAGGACCUUCGGCCAAGAACAAAGCUAAAGCAGUCGGGCCAAAUCGCUUAUAAAAUGGGAAAGAGACAUCAGAGACAAGGACACUCAACCAAUCAAACAAACAACAUACAAACUCUGCUCUCAAGCUAGAUUUGCAUCCAGAAAGCUAAAACUCACCUAGAUUCAGUCCUUUUAGCAAUAAUUCCCUUAGAAAAGUCAUCUUUUGUCUAGUGUAAAAGCUCUGCUACCUUCCCUAGUGUUGUAGUAUCGAUCCCUUUGUAUAAAACCUAUUUACCAUCCAUCCUUCUAGCAUACAACCUCUGUAAAUUCAAAGAGAAGUGGCUGCAAGAAGUUCAAUCUUGCCCGACAAGGUGAAAUCUUGCCCGAGUCUCUUUGUUUGUACUUUAGCUUAAUAGAUCUGUCGCUUAAAUGUACUUUUCAGCAUGUAUUCAAGUUUUUUUCCAACAGUUUUCUACCUAAUAGUCCUAUUUGCAAUCGGAUCUGAUUAAUUUAAUAGACUUCUUUUUAUUAAGAACAAACUGAGAUCGAGGAAAUGGUGCAAAAGGCCUUGAACUUCCUUAAUUUCAAACAUACAAGAUUAUGAACUAAAAGUCAUUGUUUACAAGGCAAGAAAAAGAACUCAAUGCAAACAUAACCCAUCUGUGACAAUCCUUUGAUAACAAGAAGUUUAAGUAACUUGGGGUGCAAGUAAUCGACUUAUAACACACUUAUUCUACAUCGGUUAUACUUAGAUAGCGGUGACACGUCUAGCACAUUGUUAGUUUUAAUUACGAGCCUCAAGGCCUACACCUAAGGCCCCACUAAGGCACCUUUCAAAUUAACUUUAAACUUAUCUUGCAGCAUAUCAAACAGUAAGAGCAUGCCCGACUACAAAACCUAAAGUGCCAUCCACCAUUGGGGAGCUGUGUGAGGGGUCAUCCUGUUUGCCUUGAACAAGACCUUUUCUCCACCGUCCUCGCAAAGUGAGGAACCUUGUGUUAAAGUCCCACAUCGGUGGGUGCAAGAAAACCAAAUGGGUUUAAAUAUGAUCACCUCACUCUAACUAAUACCGAUGUCUUUUGUGAUAAAACCCCACACUUGACGGAUUUGGCAGUGGUAAAGUUAAGGACAAUAUCAGUGUCGUUAGAGUGAGGCGGGCCCGACGAUAAUCCAACAUGGUAUCAGAGCCCACGGUUCGGGCCCGUGCAAGCCAAUGAGCUUGUCACAAAGAAGGAAACAAAUAUGAACUCUUAACAUAGAGACGACCACUGAGUUCCAUUGAAAAUAAGUGGCCCCAACAUGAGCCGACCUCUGAGUUUCAAUUACCUGUAUGGAUCUCCAUGUGUGAAACACUAAAUGGGGUUACAAAUGAGGGGGAGUGUUAAAGUCCCACAUCGGUGGGUGCAAGAAAACCAAAAGGGUUUAAAUAUGAUUACCCCACUCUAACUAAUACUAAGGCCUUUUGUAGUAAAACCCCACACCUGACAAAUUUGGCAGGUGGUAAAGUUAGGAACAAUAUCAGUGUUGUUAGAGUGGGGCGGCUCCGGCGAUCCAAAAAUCCAACACCUUGUUGGCUUUGGAUCACCCUUUUAAUAUGUUUGUUGCCAUUCAAUGCCUAUACAAAAUAUGAUGCAGGUGUUCACAUCACAUGUUUUAGUUAUCAAAUUUUAGCAUGGCGAUAAAUAUUUGUAGUAUGGAUAUUUUUCAGUAGGAACUGGCUUACUUGCAGGAUAACACUCCAAAUGUAGCCCAUCCCGUUGUAACCUCUCCACUUUGUGCCUGCCUAUAUGUUCUAUGAUUGAGCAAACCAAGCUCUUUUAGUUGAUAUUAUUACAAACCACUAUUGGUAUCAAUUUUCAAAACAUUUACCUAAUCACACUACUACAAAAAAGACUAUCACUGACGGUGGAAAAACCGACUAGAAACCCCAAUUACUGUCUUAUUUUUACCAAAAAUCUGACAUCAAAUCGUGCAAUGUCGGAUUGGAGAACCGAUGUUGUUGCUAGCGUCACGAAAAGGGUAUUGACGUUGGUUAAUCCCCUUAAUCCGCCACCAAGAAGCAAAAUAAUAUAAAAUAAAAAAGAACAACAGCGUCGGUUAAAACCGACACUAAGUCUCUCCAUUCAUUUCCUCGUGUAGAACAAGUGGGAAUUUUCCCGCCUAAUAUUUCAAAUUAUUCGACCAAUGCCGUCGGCUAAAAGCGACAACAUACUAGUUUAAAAAAAAAUGUUUAACCCAAAGAAAAAAAAUAACCAGCUAUUUUGUUUUUGUGUUAUCUCAUAUAACAUUUUAGGAUUUUAAUAAAUAAAAUUUAACUUGAAUAAAAUAUGUAAUAAAAAACAGAAAUAUAAUUUUAUUAUAAAAUAUCAUCACAUACUAAUUGAAAUAUAGUCUAAUUAAUACUUAAAAUACAUGAAAUAAUUAAUAUAUUUAUUCCAAGUCAUCAUCUGUUAGGUUGUCAUCAGUAUUGGCAUAAUUAAUGAACUCAGUAGGUAACGGUAAUGAUUCAUGAAAAUGAGUCUCUUCCACGCCAACCCUUGUAACAAAAUUUUCAUUGUCAAGUAUCCGAUCAUCCAAAUUUGCAUCACUAUCCUCUAAUACGUCAAACAAAUCCCUCAGAUGCGUUUGAACAACUAAAUGCCAAUCGUUUUCAAUUGUGUCCUCGAUGUAAAAUACUUGUAAUGCUUGUGAUGCUAAUAUGAAAGGAUCCUCUUUAAAUCCCAAUCGAUUGAAGUUCACCAUAGCAAAUCCAUAUUGAUCAGUCUUCAUUCCUUGUUGACUUUCACUGACACACCCGGACCUAGAUCGAGGCAUGCUGGUCGUCACGUGAGGGCGACGUAGCCAUGUGCACAACGCGGAAGCAAUAAAGAUAUAAAGAAAUGCGAAUAAAUAAAAACCAACUAACUAGGGCACUAGAUAAGAUAAGGUGCAAGUGCGAUAUUAAGUGUGAGUUCAUAAUCAGAGCAUGAGUAGCCUAAAUGCAGUUCAGCAGGACAAAUACUAAUUAUGCAACACCAAAGAUAAUCCUACAUUAGUGAUAAUCUGUCAGAGCUGCCGUGAAUUCCUCGUAAGCCACCGACAAGCACUCCUAACUAGAACCUGGAGGGGUGCAAAACAGAAAGUGUGAGUGGGCAAAAAUAAAGCUUUUCAAAACCAUUUCAUUUAUCAAAAGUUCUACCCCUUGCCGUAAAACCUAUAUAAUUUCCCAAAAAAAAGAAUAAAUAUAUACAUAUCUCAAAACCAUGCUUAGAAAACGAUAUUCAUAAGUAUGUCAUGCCAAUAAUCUCAAAAUAACUGAAUAAGUAACUCAGGUGAAAUAACAUAUCAGCCGGAUCCACCUAAAGUGGCAUGUACGGCUGAAUCUAUAUCUCAACAAGUAUGCCUGCACACGAAUCGAAACCACCUAAAGUGGUUUGUACGACAUGACUGGGUGUAAAUAAAUACGCUCUAGUGCUACGAUCAUGUGAAGACUGUGCGAAUAAUCACGGGUCACCUACGAGUCAAAACCACCUAUAGUGGUCUGUACGACAGGAUUGUGCACCUAACUUGGAUCCAAGGUGAGUGUAUGGUACGGAAGGUGAACAUCACGUGAAGGCAUGUGCCCUAGCCACGGGUAGGAGCACUAACACUGGGGUGUAGGUUUAUGAACUCUCAACACAUCUCACAUAAUCAUCAAUUCACAUAUAAACAAUUUACAACUUACCUGGUACUUACCUGAGUGUCCACAGCGUCAAAUCAUAUUUAUGCAUACUAUACUAAUUCAUAAUCUAAGCAUAAAUCAAUAGGCAUGGCAUUUCAAAACAUAAUUUCAUUUAAACGCAUUUUUUGGGAAAAAUACCAAGUAUAUAAGUAUAUUGAAAACCAAAAGCCCACUCACUGAUAUGUGGAAGGGUAGUAACCCCCGAGCCUUGCUUGACUGCGCUCGUCCUCAGGAUAGGUCUCAACUAUAUGCAAAACAACUAUAUAAACGUUAUUUUAAAGCACAUAAAAAAACUAGGUAAUAACUUCUCAUACAUAGCUCAAUUAGGGUAUUUGAAUAUACUACCAUGACCUACUCAAUCUCAGGAACACCCAUAUUUUUAAAAAAAAUUCCCGAGCACCCACGCGCCCUCACGCACCGGCCAAGGCACGGCCAGACGUUCGGCUCACGCUCAGGCACGUGCCUGGCACACUGACAGAUUCCCUAACGGCAUUAGGGAAUAUUUCGUUAAAAAUCAGUAUAUACCGUUAAAGAUACCUGACGCCGUUAGCAUAUUCCGUCAACUUUGAUAGAAUAUUCUCUUCCUUCUUCAUUGGCUCGCCAGAGUCCGAUUUCGGUGCUGCUGCUAUCGCCGGAAACUGGAAAAAUCUUAGAACUUCAAUAUCUCAUCCAUUUCUCAACCAAAAUCCAUGAAAUUUUCACCAAAAUGAAGCUUAGGAUGAGAGGAACGAUUCCUUACCACUUGUAGGACCUAAAACCUGCAAAAAUCUCAUCGGGAAAACCUCGAUAUUCCUGCCACCACUACAACUUCGCGAACUGGGAUUUCUCGACGUCCAAAACCCUUCAAAACUCUUCUAAAAGCUUCGUGAAGACGAUCUAAGACUUCCAAAAAGCUUAAAACUUCAAGAAACACUCACGAUCACGUCGAGAUCACUGUGCACUUCCUCGGAACUUCUUGGUUCUUAAAUUCCCGACGUCCUCACGUCCAACCAACGCUAUGGUUCGACUUUUAGUCUUGCAAGGAUUCCAAAAACACCAACUACAACCUCGAUCUGCGACUGAUUGAGGCUGGAUGGUCAAUGGCCGUACGAUUGUAAGGACAAAUAGAGAGAUUUCGACGAAGAGUGAGAGAAAGGGUUGCAUGUGUGAGUAUGUGUGUGUCCGGAUUGGGCACCCAUAAAAAAAACUUAAGUCCUAAAUGAGCCCAAAGAUUUAGCAUAAGGAUUUUAAAUGGUCAAAAUAUUAAGCUCAAACACACAACACAACUCAACGUUCAAGGGUAAAAUCGACAUUUCACACUAGCGAGGAUCGAAUAAAUUAUGUUUCAAGACAAGUUGUCACAUUCAUUAUUAACCCAUUCACACUUAAAUAACAUCACAGCUCGACCCCUACCUUUUGCAUCAGUAUGACCACAAUAUUUAACCUCGAAAAUAUCUACAACUCUGCCAUAACAAUUCACUUGCCCAAUUGCACCAGGAACAUUUGCAGGUACAAAGACACCACAAUUUUGAUUCUUAUGCUCAUCAUCCACAAAUUUUAUGCAAAAUCUGAACCCAUGAACAAUGUGACUUUUAUAUCUACUCACAACCUUACUAGGAUAAUUAUCUAGCCAAUGCAAGUCUUGAGAUAUCAACGUGUUAUUAGGAUGACAUCUUGAAUUCAUUUGUAAUACGAAUGAAGAUAAAAGUUGACAUGAUAACUAUAAACAUGUUAUAAUUAAAAUGUAAAAAUAUAAAUAAAUAAUGUGAUUGUUAUAUCAACUCACAUGUUGCUUGAACGAUUCUGUAAAUUCUUUCUUGCUUAGCUCCUUAAUUUGUGGCAUAGUUAACCUUUCUCGAUGAUGUUUAGUUUUCAGGAAUUCCUCAUGUUGCCUGGGCAAUUAUGUCCAAAUUUAGAUAAUUAAUUUUUCAAAGUUAAGAAAACCAAUAAAACAUUAAGACGUAUGAUUAAACGUUCUUACCUUCUAAAUGGGUUAACUUCACCACAAUUAUUUAGAAUGUAUAUAUGACACUUAUCAAGAACAUUUAGAUCGAGCUCCACAUUUUCUCCUGAACCCAUAUAACAUUCUUUGGAGUCAAAAAUUGAUAAUCCACCAGAUACUCCAUGUCCAAUACCAUCUUCAUUUCGGCCUCUACAGGUGCGACGAGACUCGACAUCUCUAAGAUACAUCGAACAGAAGGACAAGCACUCGUCCACCAAAUAUGCUUAAGCUAUAGAACAUUCAGGACGACCCUUAUUACAAACAAAAUGCUUUAGUAUUUGCAAAUACCUACAAUUAUAAAAUGCAACACAAAUUAUUAUAAUUAAAGUUAUGACUACAAUUGUAAAAAAAUUAUAAAAAAUUUGUUAAUUACCGUUUAAUUGUAUACAUCCAUCUAUAUUGAAUAGACCCUGCAAGAGCUGCUUCAUCUGCCAAGUGAAUUGAGAGGUGCACCAUUAUAUAAAAAAAUGCAGGAGGGAAUAUUUUUUCAAGUUGACAUAAUGUCAAUGCAAUUUUUAAAUUCAAUUGCUUGAAUCCUUCCUCAGACUCAUUCCACACGCCUUUUGUAGUAGUAUCUGUUGAUACACAAAGUCGGAGGUCUUGGAACAACGUAAAUUCGACCGUGAAUCUGCAAGUAAUGUAAAUAACACAAGAUGUAUCGUGGUUCACCCCAAGGUUUGGGCUACGUCCACAUUGAUUAUAUUUCUGAGGGAGAGAGAGUUAUGAGAGUGAGAGCUUUGAGAGGGGGUGAGAGGGCCUAGGAAUUGGCCUCCUUGAAUGCACAAAAUCAGUGAGGACUUUGGUACAACAGAAAAUGUUAAGUUUGUGACCUUCGCUAGAUUGCUCCGGUCAUUAGUAUGGAUAAGUAUGUAAAUGGAUAGAGACAGGGAAACAAACACAAGAUGUACGUGGUUCACUCAGAUUGGCUACGUCCACGGAGUAGAUGAGUUCUCAUUAAUUGUGAAGGGUUUACACAAGUACAUAGGUUCAAACUCUCCUUUAGUGAGUACAAGUGAAUGAUUUAGUACAAAUGACAUUAGGAAAUAUUGUGAGAGAUUGAUCUCUAUUUAUAGAAGAGAGUUUCUAGUUUCAUUCUGACAUUGACACGUGUCGUGUUGUGAUUGGCUUCUGAUGUUGACACGUGUCGCGCUAUGAUUGGCUUCUGAUGUUGACACGUGUCGCGCUAUGAUUGGCUUCUGAUGUUGACACGUGUCACGCUGUGAUUGGCCUCCUGGUUGGAGGGAAACUCUUCUGGGUCCUUGACGGUAUAACGUUGAUCGGUGCACAGUAGUUUCGGGAUUGGUUAAGUAUGGUACAAACAGUAUCAAUCAGCCAAUUACAUUUCACCAGCAAGUUCGACUGCAAGAAGUAUCGCUUUAAUAUACGAUUUAGCACAUUGCAUCCCCAUAACUUGUUCUCUUGAGAUUGGUUAUGUUUCUCCACAGUUUGAAACACGAGAGUUUUAAGAGAGCAAUAUGAGCUUACCGCACAUUUUGUCAAGCAAAAACUGGAUGGGCUCAUAACCCUCCACUGGGAUAAUGAUAUUUAACUUCAUAUGGAGUAUCACGAGCCCUUUCACCUGAAAAUUACAAAUAGGAAUUAAGAAGACGUUGUUGUAAGGGAUAUCAACACCCACUGCAGUAAAGAUACCCUUACAUCUCCAUGCAACGGUUAACAUUGUGGGUGAGGGUGACAAAGUUGGAGGGGGGCUCCCAGUUGCUCCCGACCCUGAUAACUUGACAUCCAGGCCAUUCUCUGGUAAGACCUGCAAAUAUUUAAUCAGACUGAGGACAGAUAAUUCGACCAUUUUAUUUACUUAUAAAUGGUUUUGCUUGCAUCAAAGUGUACGGAAGCCGAGCACCUUAAUAUUAGGUCUUUGCACCAGUGGAAAAGGCAGCAAUAUUGCAGCCAUAGAAAGGGUUACAUGUCACUUCACACAUUUUCGGUACUCAGCUUCCAUGAUAUGACAUUCAAUAUAAGAGGGGGUCUUGAUAUCUUAGCUGUUCAUCUUCAGCAAAAUAAGAUCAAAUAUUCAAAGUUGGCGCAAUAUGUAAUGAUUGCCUCAACAAAUAUUUAACAUUACUUUUUACUGUCAUGAAUUGACAAUGAGUUGAACUGUCGAGAAAGUAAACUUCGAAUUUUCGUUCAAGCUAUUUUAUAUAAUAGUAAAUGAGCAAGCUUAAAACUUUUGAAAAUAACGUGAGGAUAUAAUGUGUAAAAGGUGAAUUGGUGAUAAGUUGUUAUUCAAAAUUAAGAGUUAAAUUCAAGAUAUUGUAUGAGACUCACUUAUGUUUUUAUUUCCCAUAUAAUUGUUAUAUAUGUCAGUGUCCAUUUAAAGAUUAUGUAUGCAAAAUAAUCAAUCCAAUUAAAGGUCACUUCAUCUUAUUUUAAAAUGUAUAUAAUAAAAUUAUGUUAAAUUCAAAAAAUUUCAUUGUUAAAAAUCUAGUGGCCGAGAAAUAUAACAGUUGGAAAUCCAACGGUCCAGAACAUCCCACGUCGCCCCUCUCAGACGAGUGUGAGGGUGUCUGCCAAAAAAUAUAAAAGACGUCGCUGACGUCAAAUGGGGGGGGUGGUUGGGCCCGCUGAACAGCCCCACUGUUUUUCUGGAGUGGGAGGAUUGAAUCACUCAAUUGCAAGGGCAAUCGAAAGAGGUGGAGUUGCUCCAACUACUCUACCAAAAAAGGGUAGAGAAAUUUUCCAAAAGUAAAAGAAGAAAAAAGAGAAAAGUGAAAAUUGAUGACAACAACAAACAAGUGUUAAAAAUUGGAAGAAAAGGGAAAAAGGAAAAAAAACAACCCAAAAAGAUAAAGCCACAAGAAACCAUAUUCCAAAAUGCAAAUUCCAUUCCAUUUAUAUUUUCCCAAAUUCCUAAAACGAAAAAAAAGCAAAAAAGCAUUGGAAAUUCCAAAAAACAAAAGCAAAAAGGCCUCCAAACACUCCCACACAGAGAGAAGCAGCACCUCUCAACCUCGAGCUCCGCGCUACGAUUCUCUGUAGAAGAACACAAUCGAACAGAAGAAUUUCGACCAAAGCUUCAAAUUUUCCCAUUAAUUUCACAAAAUUUGAGCGCCAAAAUCCAUCGGAGCUUCGACAAAAACCUUGAAACUAUCAUUAUUUACAAGUCUUCAAUCGCAGAGAGCCAAAUGUACGAACCCCACCGGCCGAAGUCGAAAACCCAAACCCUAGAGCUAUGCCGCCGGGACUCGCAGUGACGGAACUUUCAAACCCUAGAAAUGGCCAAGCAUUCCGUGGGGUGGGUCGCGGCGCAGAAGCGGUGGCUUCUGGCUUUACUCGUCAUGGUCUCCCUCUCUACCUUGAUCGCCUUCUUCAUCAGAGCCGCGUUUGACACCUGCGAUCGCGGCGGCCUUGACGUCGUCGAUAAGAGGGUUCCGCUGGGGGCGCCCAUUGGGACCAGUCCUAGCCCCCUCAGCUUCAUGAAGUCCAAGCUCGUGCUCUUGGUCUCCCACGAGCUUUCUCUUUCUGGUAAUGUCUCUGUCUCCAUUAUAUUGUUAUCAUUUUUUAUGAAUUUAAUGCAUUUUUAUAUUAAUCGUGUUUAAUUAGUUGUGUUAAGUUUUUAAUGACUUAUUAGAUUAUACAAACAUAGAAAGUUAGCAGCUUUAGAUGAAAAAUCACUUGUAUCAGUGGAAUCUGUGAGCAUUAACUGGUUUUCGAACUAUUGGAUGGUUUUCGAUGACCCGUUUAACAAUAAGUCCUUUCCUGUGCCUCAUUACUUUUAAAUUUCCUGUUUUAUUCUAGUAUUUAUGGAGAGGGUAGCUUGUUCCUUAGUGUGUUAAUGCUGUUUGAUAUAUUUUCAUCUCAGUUGAGUUUAAUUUGUUUGUGAAUUUGGAAACAUGGUCUGGUGCAGUUGCAUGCCCUUCAUUAUGUUCGAGUUUAAUCAAUGAUUUCAUUGGGGAUUUAUGUGAAGUCAAGAUUAUAGAGUGGAAGAACUGAGUACGUUACUUCUCUGCGAUUGUUGAUUCUUAUAAGACGGCAUCUGUAUUGUUCUACUAUUCACGUAUUUUUGUAACUUAAUUAAUUCAAUAACCCGAUAAGCAGGGUUGUUUGAAUUAUUUGUCCAUUCUGUGUACUGAUGUGUCAUUUGAAAAUAUUACUACUCAACUUGAAAAUGUUUGUCGUCUUUUGAACAUUAACCUAUUUAUUGGGAUAAUCUUGUUCUCGAGCUGUCAUGCAUUUUGUAAUACAAUGUGUUCUUUGAAGAAUGCUCUUUUUUUCAGAUGAGAAACUUUUGUCCUUGGUUCGAGAACUUAUUGAGUCAAUAUUCUUGCCGGCGUCAACAGACUAACGUUUUCUAAUGUUGAUGCGUUCUUUUUGUUAUAUUUACUUGCACUUGUCAGCAUAUUGAAAUAAAUGGAGUAGUACCACAACUGAUGAAAGCUAUCUUCCUCCUUAACCAGAUAUCUGGUUGAAGAGUAUAUUUUAUCCCACCAAUUUCUGCUCUUUAUAUCUUACAAACGCUACUGGAGGGAUAAUAUAUUGAACAUUCUUCCAGGUGGACCUUUGUUGUUGAUGGAGCUAGCAUUUUUAUUGAGAGGUGUUGGCACUGAAGUUUAUUGGGUUACAACCAUGAAAUCGUCAGAUACAGAUGCUGUAACAUACAGUUUGGAGCAUAAGAUGUUGGACCGAGGAGUGCAGGUACAAAUUUCACUUUUAACUUUUUAAGAGAUUAUUUUGGAAGUCUUCUUUUGCAGUCUAGUUGUUGUCUUUGUUCUACAUAGUUAUUUUUAUUAUCUCAAUAUUUCAUGAUAUGGAAGCAUUCUGUUGUCCAACUGUACUAUAUUGGCCACGUGCUAAGGAAACUAUGCUAAGUAAAUCUAGCUUCCCAUCUGAUUUGAUCUAUACUAUGGCCUUGUCUGGCUCGGUCUUCUCUGCGUGUCAUUUCCUGUUUUUGAUAGGUUAGAUUUCUCUGUAACUUCUCCAUGUUUCUAAUACUGCUUCUAUACAUCUCUAGGUCCUCUCUGAAAAUGGCCAAGAAACUGUGAAUACAGCUCUCAAAGCUGAUUUGGUUGUAUUGAACACCGCAGUUUCUGGGAAAUGGUUGGAUGUUGUUCUUAGGGAAAAUGUUCCCCGUGUUCUCCCAAAAGUGUUGUGGUGGAUUCAUGAAAUGCGUGGCCAUUACUUCAAAUUGGAUUAUGUUAAGCACCUCCCACUUGUUGCAGGUUCUAUGAUAGAUUCACAUGUAACAGCAGAAUAUUGGGAGAAUAGGACUCGAGAGCGUUUGGGGUAGGCUUCAAAUAUUCUUCCUUUUUCUUUUUUAUAUCAUUUGGUUCACCGUUGCAUUCAUUUUCUCUCUGCAGUAUCAAAAUGCCCGAGACCUUUGUUGUUCACCUAGGAAACAGCAAGGAACUUAUGGAAGUUGCUGAGGACAAUGUGGCAAAGCGAGUUUUGCGUGAGCAUGUCCGGGAGUCUCUUGGAGUUCGAAGUGAAGAACUAGUAUUUGCCAUCAUUAACAGUAUGUAUUUUGGUCUGUUUUGAUGGUUUGAUUGAAUUUGGUUAUAAUGUUUCACCAUGAAUUUACCAGUUUGUUUGUUUUUUAUCUUUAUCUUGUUUCUAGUAUGCUGGUGAAAUUUGUGUUAAUUUCCGUGGGGAUAUGACAAAUAAAAAGUAAUGUUCUGGUUAGUUUAUGCAUACAUUGUGAGCACUAAAUUACACUUCAUGUCUAUAGGUGUUUCGCGCGGAAAAGGCCAGGAUUUGUUUUUGCGUUCCUUCUAUGAAAGCUUGCGACUGAUCCAAGAGAAGAAGCUGCAACUGCCAAAAAUGCAUGCUGUAAUUGUGGGGAGUGACAUGACUGCUCAUACCAAGUUCGAGCAUGAAUUACGUAACUUUGUAGCGAUGAAGAAAAUUCAAGAUCGUGUUCAUUUUGUAGACAAAACUCUGACUGUAGCACCGUAUCUGGCUGCAAUUGAUGUCCUUGUUCAAAAUUCGCAGGUAUUAGAAGCAUUUUUCUUUUAUUAUUGUGUUAUUCAAUCUUGUUUUGAUGCAUAUAGAAUUCCCAACUAGCCAACGAAUAAAGAAUAAGAUCCAUACAAAUAGGUGUUCAGAUUAUUCUUUUUCAAGUUUGACCCUAAUGUGGUUGGAAUUACAUAAAUUUUAUUAAAAUAUCCAUUUUCAUCUUGUAUUUUUUUUUUCAUUCCGUACAGGCACGCGGAGAAUGCUUUGGUAGGAUAACCAUUGAAGCCAUGGCAUUUCAGCUGCCAGUAUUGGUAAUGAACCUUCCUCCUUUUCGUUUCGCGUAAUAUCUAAUACUGAUGCUGCCUAUCUUAUUGACCCAUUUCAUUGUCUUUUUUUUCUUUCCCAAAUAAAAUAUUUAUCAGGGAACAGCGGCAGGUGGCACCACAGAGAUUGUAGUGAACGGAACGACAGGUUUGCUGCAUCCUGUUGGGAAAGCAGGGAUCACUCCUCUCGCGAAUAAUAUGGUAAAACUCGCCACUCACGUUGAGAGGAGGCUUACGAUGGGGAAGAGAGGCUACGAAAGGGUCAAAGAAAGGUUCCUAGAACACCAUAUGGCAAAUAGAAUAGCUGCGGUUCUGAAGGAAGUAUUGCGCAAGUCAGACAGCCGCUCAGAUUCUUAACACAUGCUCUCUUCUCCUCAUGUCGAGAUUUCAGCGCUUAAGUAGGUCGAUUUUCCUUUUAUGUCGACAUAAUCGUCCCUCGGGUUUUUCACCUUUCUAUUUCCAAUAGGGCUGUACAUUAUGUGCAUAUUAAGGCAAGAUCGAGAUUGUAGCUUGUUAAAAGGUUGACAUUAAUGACAUGAUCGAUUUUGUUAUAGCAUGGGAUUGGAAAAAUUGGCAUCUCAUUGACAUGCUUGCAACUCUCUUGUUACUGAAUUAUGAGCAUUUAUGCUUGUUAACUCUUAUCAUCUUUUAUAUGGGCGGGUAGGAUGGUUUGCCGAAAUAACUUGCCGACACUCGUUUCAUGAAACGGGGCAUUUCACAUAUAAGCUCACGUACCUCUUGCAUGAUAUAGCAAAAAUGAAACGGGCAUAGGCAAGUUUUGUGCGGUUUUGCCAGCUUUUUGUUUGUAAGUUUUUGAAAAGAACAUCAUAAACAAAGCGUUGGUUCGUGCUCACUUCCCCCAUGCAUCGGAGUUUGAAUCUUCAUGUUCGAAAAUCACUUGGAUUAAAAGUAAAAUUAAAGAAUCACUGACAUGUUAACAAACGUGUCAAUAAUUCUUUUUUUUUUAACCGAUCCAACUUAAUGUGAAAAAGUUUUGUUGUUGUACCGACGUGUUAAAAAGAAAAAAAUAAUUACAACUAAGAACUUAGCUUAAGCUUUACAUUAUAGCAAAAAGUUCAAAUUUUUCAUUACAACUCAGAACAAAGCUACUGAGCUAGUAAGAAGAUCCGUAAGACUUCAAGGAGACUUGGGUUGUGGAGAAUCACUUGCUGGCUUUGGCUUCUGCUUGAAGUUGUGCUUUGUAAACCAAGUGGUGUACAGAAAGUGCUUCUGAGCUCCUACAUGGUUGCAUAUCAAUCUGAGCUUCUGCCUCUCCCUCAUCCACCUCAGCACUAUCUUCAUGUGCCUCUUGCUCGUCAACCCUCUCAACCCGACUUUCUGAAAGAAAAAACCACUCAGACAUUUCAUCAAACACUUGGUGCGCGAAAACGAAAUCACUGAGAUUACCUUGACGUGAUCCCAGGUUUCGGAAAUGGUGAGAGGACCGUGCUCCUUGACGAUGUCGAAGAUGGCCCUGGUGAUGGUCUGUGUCUGCUCAGGUGGGGUAUUGAGCUCUAUGGGUUUCAUCGGAGGUUUUGGUUUCCGAGCGAUGCACCUGAUCGCUGUCCCAAACAUGUUUCUGAUUUCCCUUUGCUAAAGAGAGUGGGCUAACAAAUAUAACCCGUUAGGUAAAAUGUUAUUCAUUUAAUUUAGCACAGAGUAAAUUGUAACAAUGAUUCUUCAACUUUAAUUAAAUUGGAGAAACAGUUUAUCAACUAAAAAUUAAUUACCAUUUAUCCCUCAACUCAUCAAAAUGUGUAGUUUGGUCAUUUUCGUCAAUUUCGUCAGAAUUUUAUCAAAAUAAGUUAUGUUGGAAUGACCAUUGCUAUAAUUGAGGUCUCUCAACUCAUCAAAACGUGUAGCUAUGAUCAUUUUUGUCAAGUACAUCAAAAUUUUGUCAAAAUGAGUUAUGUUGAAAAGAUCAUUGCUACAAUUGAGUUAAACUUGAGAGAUCAUUGCUCCAAUUGGGUUAAAGUCGAAGGACCAAUGAUAAUAAAUUUUUAAUUGAGAGACCAUAACUACAUGUUCUGAUGAGUUGAGGGAUCAAUAGUAAUAGAUUUUUAGUUGAGGGACCAUUGCUACAAUUUAAUCUAUAGCACGUUCUUAGCGCUACUGAAUCUUUUUCCCGAGUACGAAUACGAUGGUGUUGGUUUUCGACUCCCAUCGACCAUAGAGCUAAGGAUUGCUGCGUGAACACCUGGUAUAUGUCGACCUGAUCGAAGAAUUUGUCUUCGUCAUUACGAUCUGGGUUGAGGUGACUGAUCUUCCACACGCCAUUAUCCACAGUGAAUCGAAUCAUAGCCUUACAGCCUGUUCUUGUGUCUAGUCUUCCCCAAUUUCGACAUAAGCCCAGAAUAGACACGUGACGGCAAAAAAUAGCGGUAGAGUAAUACUUAAACUUAACUGGGAGCGUCAAAUCACCACCUUUGUUUUCUUCCCAACCUCCCAGUUCCAGUUUAAAUAGCAUGUUCACGUUUAAUUUUACCAAAAAAAAAAUGAAUGUGGGAAUCAACCUACAUCACCAUUCUUUGAUUUUUUUCAAACUUGCAUGGCACGGGUCCAGUGUGGCGUCUCUUGCCAAUAGUACAAAUACAUGUUAGUUAUCGUUGCAUUUCAAAUAAUAAUAAUAAUAAAACGUGUUAGUUGCCUUGUAUCGUUGGCACAAAAUGCCACCGUAGCAGUUUAUGCUGUGCCAUGCAUGCUGCAAGUGAAUCAAGAUAACUCUUCUACACCGUGCUUAAAAGUCGAGAAACCAGUGUGUCCAGACUCCAGAAGCACUCAAAGGGUUUAUAUUCAUUUCUAGCCAAGACUCUGCACAUAACCUAGAAAUAAAAUGCCAAGACAGUGUUCUAAACAGCAAUAACACAGCAGCACAUAAAUUAAACUAAAACGGCGCACAAGUGAAAAGAUGCUACUUCAGAUCAGUAAAAUCCAUUAAUAUUAAUGUACUAUAGCACUUAACGGCGAUACAAAGUAUAUAAAGAUUAACCGAGAUAAAUUAUAGAUUUCAAACUCCAGUAUUGACAACAAAUAUAAUAACCGGAUACAUCUAACAUCAAUGAACCGACACUAGAAAAAGAAAACGAUGUACAAUGUUGGCUUCUACAAAAGAAGAAAAAUAAGAAUCUAACCUUUCAUUCUGAACAUCUUAUGCAAUGAAGUGCAAUUUUUUUUUCAAUCUAGGAGACUUGUCCUUUAGCUGUCACAACCGGGGGAUUCCACACUCCCAUUAUCAAGAGACAUAUCGCGAACAGAUUGGUCAUCUACUUUGCUCAAAUUUCCUAGCAUGUAGGUAGUUUCCUCGUCACUUUCCAGCAACUUUAUGGUCUCCGCUAACUUUUGUUUGACAAUCCUUUUUCCCGAAUCACACAAUGAGCCUAUACUGAAAACAUUCGUUCCUUCAUGCAUUAACUCACUUAGGCGCAACGAUUGAGCAGAGUUGGCCUUUCUAUCUGAUGACUUACUGAACUUAUUACUCGCCACAAUCCCUUUUUUUGCCUCUCUAGUCCAUCUCUUCACUAUGUAUUGUGUCGGUAUGCUUGUGAAGUUUUUAGAAUCCAACACUUUGAGGGCAUGACGACACAACAAGCCCAUCGAUUCAAAUAACUUACAAGAACAAGAAACUGUGGAUGUAGUAGAGUUGUACCGAAUCAUGAAGACUCUUUGAUGACCUUCUUCGAUUGCUUCAUAAAUAUAUUGGUUGCCGUCAUUACCAACUUCCACCAUCCUCACCCCAAAAAUGCUCAUAAGCUCAUCUUCAAAGAAUGAAUACAUUUUGACAGUGUACUCAGUAGCUGCAUGCUUAAAUAUACUACUAUUUACUCUAAGACGAGGCUUCGCAUUUUUACAACGAAAAUCCUCUUCCAACUCUGUGAACCGCAUCUUUUUUAUUUUUUGCUCGUAGUGCUGUACAAAACUAACAAGAUCCACUAUUUUUCUGGAAACUUGAUGGAAAAUGGUGUUCGUAUUCUCACCCCUCUGGCUUGAUCCAAUAUUUGCUGAGAAAGCAUCUGAGCUAAAUGCUGGACACCAUUUAUCUCGAAGUGAAUACAACAUCUUUAGCCACGAGUUGCUUUCAAGGUUGAACAUUUUAAUCAUGUCAUCCCAGGCAUGUUGAAGUUCUUGUUCAGUAAAACAAUCGUAAAAGCAUUUGUAGAAGUGCUUCUUGAAUUCAGGAUCAGCAUAAAGACUACCAAGAUGUUGUGUAGCAUUCUUGGAGAUUUGCCAAUUGCAUAACAGAUGGCGUGUCUCUGGAAACACAAUCUCAAUUGCCCUUGCCUUUUCCAUUGCUUUAUUCUCAUCUGUGAAAAUGGUUACUGGCUGUUUAUUUCCCAUUGACUCCAAAAAUGUUUCAAACAACCACAUAAAUGAGGCAGUGCUCUCGUCCAAUAAAAAUGCACAACCAAAUGAGAUAUUCUUCCAGUGGUGAUUAACUCCCAAAAAUGGAGCACAAAUUAGAUUGUUGUUGGUUUGAAACGUAGUGUCAAAGCAUACAACGUCUGCAAAACAAUCAUAAUCCAACUUUGAUCUACCGUCUCUCCAAAAAUAAUUUGUGAUCCGAUUAAACUGAUCCACCUGUACACUGUAGAAAAAACUCGGAUCCUCCAUCUGUUUAUGCUUAAAAUAGUUUAUCAAGCUUUGUCCAUCCCCUGCAAUCAAUUCAUCCUUCCCCCUUUGCAAACAAUUAUGCGAAUCUUUAUUACUAACCCCGACAUUCUCAGCACUUCCAAAUUCCUUUCCCAAAUAUGAUUGCAACUUUGGUGGUCGUAUACUCCCAUCAACCUUAGAGCUGCCAAGUAUAGUUGCACGAACACUUGGUAUAUUUCUCCCCGACCUCAGAAACUGUCGCUCUUCAGGCCUAGCAAACUCGUGAUUAUGAAUUGGAUUAAUGUACGAGAGCUUCCAUACACCAUUUUCCACAUUGAACCGAAUCACAGCCUUGCAACCUGUCCUUGUGUCCAAUCUUCGAACUUUUCUCGCUUCACACAAGUCUUCAUCUACUUGAAACCCUUCUUUCGAGCACGUGUAUUCUCUCUGCCGGACAUUGUUCUGCGAAUCUCUCCGAAGAUGACCUUUCCGAAUACUAAAACCUUUGUUGAAGGCAUAGGUGUUGCAUAGCUGGUACGCCUCAGCUUCAUCACUAACCUCCAUUCCUACCCUCAGUUCAUCAAUUUCUCCGAAAAUUUCAUCAUUGUCGCUUUUUUCUAAUGAUUCCUUUUGAGAAUCACUAUCCAUUUAGCUCAAAUCAGCCUAAUCAUAAACGAAUAAUUAAUUUAUGUAAAUAAAAUUAAAAUUUAACUCCUAACAAAAUAAAGGUGCAAAAUUUAAGAUGAAUCCCAAAUUUUUCAAUAAAAUCGAAAUAGCCCAUUUCGCUAAAACAGAUGUUAAUUCAUAUUAUCAAUCGCGAAAUUAAAUUGAAAUAAUUGUCUGAUUCUUCCCCAAAUUUUUCUCAGCCAUUAAAAUUUCAAAACUUUCAACUUCAAAAUUUUCAGAAAUGAAAAAAAGAAGGCAACAAUCAUAUCAUCAAAGAACCAGAGAGGAGAGACGAUUACCUGGUUUUUCCGAUAAACGAGAGAGAAGAAGAGAGUCGAUACGUCGUCGUUUAGAGGAGGAACGGGAGGAGGAGUUUGGGCUGAGAGGAGUGCUGGCACUGUGUGAAUAGAAAAGGGUCUAGAGAUUAGGGAGGAACAAAACGCAGCGUUCUCAUCCCGUCUCUAUCAAAUACAAAAUUUCACUUUUGGCCUUUCUAAUUUACGCCGAGUUUAUUUUAGUCCUCCUAAUUUUUAUUGUGUCAAUGUUGACCUUGUAAUAUACCAAAAGUUGCAACUCGACAGCUGGUUUGAGAUUGUAGUGCUUUUAUAAAAAACAGCUUAUUAAAAUACCUGAAGCAUCAAAUAUAUUUGGUAAAAUAAAAAAAGCAUUUUUUUUUUAUAAAUUAAGUUUAUCCAACACUCAAAUACUAUUAUUUUUGCAAUUUGUUAUAAACAUUUUUACAUAAAAUAAAUUUACCAAACACUUAACAAAUUUAGUUUACAGCUGUUUAUUCUCAGAAAUAUUUUUUUCAAAAAGAACAACAACACCAAACUAACCCACAUUAUAACCAUCUUUUGAAAAAAAAUUCAAGAAAACUCCUUAAAAUCCCAUGACUAAUAGUGUAUUUUAGAAGUAUUUCAAGUCAUUCGGUCUUCUGCAGGUUGAAACAAACAAGGGGUAACUCAUGAGUUCUGUGCAGGUGAAACAACCCAUCCAGAAUACACCGAGAUUAAGACGACGUUGGAUGACAUUCUGGACAGAUUACAAGUUCAUGGCUACCAGCCAAACCUGGUUUCGGCCGCUUAUGCUGUGGGAGACGAAGAAAAGACGGGUAUAUUAAUGUCUCAUAGUGAAAAGCUAGCUUUAGCAUAUGCAUUGCUCAGUAUAGAUUCUGGUUCCGCCAUUAAGAUCAUGAAGAACAUUAGGAUUUGCGGACACUGUCAUUCGUUCAUGUGCGGCGCGUCCUAGGUUACAGGGAGGGAGAUUGUCGUGAGAGAUAACAUGAGAUUCCACCAUGGAAGAAGAUUACAGUGCAAUGUUUGAUAUGGCGGAAGGCCGGUUUUGAGUAAUAUGAUCAUCUAGGCAAAUGUUUCAGCCAAUGCAGUUGAUAUAUUAACAUAAUAGACAACAAAUUUUCACAUCACAAAGACAGACAUUGCGUAGUGCUCUCUGUGCAUUAGCCACACAAACAACUCAGCUCACACCAGAGGCACCAGUAGCUUAUUAUAUGACCGAUAUAAUAGUAACAAACCACUGUAUUUAUAUCUUGUGGUGUCCGCCGCGAAGCUUCUCUAUGAUCUUGUCCAUGAUCCCUUUCUUUUCGUGGUGCUCCUCCGUGUAAGCGGUGCCGCCGCCGGAGGGUGUGGUGGUCGACGUCGUAGUAUGUGAGUACCGGGGAUCAUCCUUGUGGCCAGUACUCGGCAGCUUGUCCUCGAUCUUGUCCAUCAUCCCUUUUUCCUGGUGGUGACCUCCUGGGUCGGCGGUGCCGUAUGCUGUGUCAGUUGUGGUUGAGCCUGGGAGCUUCUCAUUUAUCUUCUGUUUCAGCCCCUUUUUCUUCCUACUCCCACCUAGCCCAUCAUCCUCUGACUACAACACAAUAAUUAAAUACCCAACAUAUAACUACCAAGAGAAAAAUACAAGUUAACAAUUUCAUGGGAAAUUUUACAUUCCUUAUUUCUCUUGAAAUUGGGAUACCAAGUCCAUAAAAAAUCCACCGGAAGAAUUGAAUGCCUUUAUUGAAUAAUACUUGCAUAACCUAUCUUCAUCGUAGAAAUUUUAUAAUCAUAACCGUUUUUAUUUUUAAUCUCCAUUUAAGAUUAUGUGUACAAAAAUCAUUUGAAUAGAAUAUCGUUUUUAGUCAUCCAAAUGUAUCACAUAAAUCAACAGUGUAGAAAAAUCAUUUGAAUAUGAUAUCGUUUAGUCAUUCAAAUAUAUCUCAUAUAUAUCAACAGUGUAGAUACCAAGUAACAUAUAUUAUAAAGAUCAACAGUCCAUUUAUUCCAUAAAUUUGGAUGACUAAAUAAUGUUCGAUUAAAUGAACUUUUGUAAGGAUUGAUAAUCUUUAAAUUAAUAUUUAGAAAUUGAAUGGCCUCGAUUAUGAAACUUGUAGGAUGAAGAUACACAAUUGGGGAAAUGAGCUCAAUUCCCAGGAGAGGAAUGCAAAUAUUAUUCUUUCUAGUGACUAUAGUCAAUUCUAAUAAGAUGUGAUACGUUGAUUUGCAUUUACGGAGUACAAUACAUGAAACUAAUUUAAUCAGUAAGAUGAUACAAAUAAUUGUACAUAUUUACCCAAAAUUAAUACCAUUAGUAUCCUGGCUAAUUGUAUUAGGAUUUACACACAAAUUCAUUUUCGUGGAAAUUAUGCGGUUAAUUAAGUCUAAUCUUUUUGCUAGCAAGGUCUAAUCUUUUUAGACAAAACAAUGGUACAAAUUACAAUAUCCUACGAAAAUUAAGAUCAAAUCUUUAUAUGGGAAAAAGAGAUUACUUACAGAGCUAGAGCUUGAGCUGGCGGAGCGAUGAAGCAUGCCAGUGACACCAUGGUGCUCUUUCCUGCCGUAAUCGUGACCAAGUGUGCCGUGACCACCUGCCGUGGUGGCAGCAUAGCCAGUGGUCACAACGGCCGUGUGAUGAGCACCGUAUUCUCCGGUGGCAGCAGGAGCGAUGCCAGUAGUAGCACCGUGAUGACCAAGUGGGUUUCCAUACUUGUCCACUUGGGGAACCAAGGGGUUGCUGUUCUCGUCAGUUCCCUGAGUCGGGUUGCCGCAGGCGGCGGUGGGUGGUGCCCCGUAUUGAUGAUUUUGUAAAUGCGCCAUUCUCUAAAAACACAAUGAAACCUUUUCUUCUUCUUGGAAAUUUUUUAAUAUGCUUCGAUGAGGAUUUGAUUUUGAUGAAGUCUGACAAUUUGGGUCGGUUUAUAUAAGCAAAAUAACAAAACAUGCAUGUCACAGUAGGGUUCUUGCCGUUUGCCAAACUUUAAUAAUUUGUAAAACUAUCCCCACUCUCUCUCUGUAUACAUGUCGUAUACGGUAUACCUCACAUUGCCACAAAAGCAACUCCCGACAGCAAAAAUAGUGUUAGACAUGUCGUAUAGCUCACAUUACCAAUACCUUGAAAGCAACUGCCGACAUCAAAAAAUAAUAGAACUUGGAUUGUUCAUGCUACUAGCUUCCAUCGCUAGGACAUGUACUUGGAAGCAAGCUAUACAGCCACCUUGAAUCAAUGAAUGAACCUUGAAUCAACGAAUGAAUGAAAAGAAAUGGAAUUGAAAGCAAGCUACAGCUACCUCAAAUCAAUCAAUGAACGAAUGAAAAGAAAAGAAACCGCCUGCUUAUCUUGUGUGACAAGACCAUAGAGCGAGUGGCUCUUCUAUGUGUGAAAUUAUCUUGUGUGACAAGACCAUAGAGCGAGUGACCAUUCUAGGUGGGCAGCUGUGUGAGAGAGAGGAAUUCGAACUUGAUAUUGAUAUCAGCGGAGGCGUUUGCAAGUGGCAAACUAAAUAACAUGUUCAUGUUCUUAUUGCUACUCAUUUUAACAUAAUAGACAACAAAGUUUUGUAAGCAGUAUAUCAAUAAAUAAACUACUGCAACACAUCAUACCAACACUACCCUAGGAUUACCAACUAAUAUCAGAUUCACCAUAACUAGAGAAACACCAGUUUAUAAUCUACAAGACACUUACCUGGAGGCAUCGCCAUUGAAGAAACAACAGAAGAAGAAGUCUUCUACUUCCAACACUCGAAAGUCUCUUCUCUAAGUGAAUAGGGUUUUAGAUAAUAUUGAGAGCGUUAGUAAGGAAGCAGGGACUUCAACUAUAUAUAUAUCCAUCCAUUUUGCUACAGAUUCACUCGGUCCAACCUAUUAUCAGAAAGAGUGAUAAUCUCUAUCUCUUAAUAAGUUUUAGUCCUAUCAUGACUCUAUAUACUAGUAUAUAUUUGAUAAGGAUCAAAAUAGAACAGCUGCAACAUACAAAACUCCACGAUUCUUGUCAUACCAAAGCUCUCAGACUCCUUGUGUUUCACAUAACUAGUAUGACUAGUUAAACGCCACCCAAGUAGUCCAGUUGUAAUCUCAUUGUCAUUCAAACAAGUUUUACAUUCUCCCACUUGAAUGUCAAUGAUAUGCCUCAAUAUUAUAAGAAUCAUGAUGAUCAUACAGUUCACAAAAGCUUGCAACUGAUCCUUCAUAGUAACUUGUCAUCUUUAAGAAAAAUAUAGGACCACAAAAAACAAAGCACGAAUAGCUUGCACUUUGCACUCUGUGAUCACAUACAUAUUUAGCUUAAAAACACUAUGUCACUUUUGAGAGUCAUGACGUCAAGAACUGACAAUUCUCAGUUCCACAUAACAAAAUGAAAUAAUUCCAGUACCAAAGUUGUUUGUAGAAACAUAAUAAGCCAAUUUAAACAAAUCAAUAACGAUAACAAAUUUGCAAGAUAACUAACAAUCGUCAAUCAGUAAACAAAAUAAUUGAAACAAACCCAACACGGUUUAUGGAGUGCUUACUCCCACUCAUUAACUGAAUCAAGGACCUCUCUUACUCCCAUGUUGAAAACAUGUUUCUUGAAAACUCCCACUGGUAAAGCCUUUGUCAUUGGAUCAGCAACCAUUAAACUUGUGUUGAUGUACUCAAUUUCGACAGUUUCUUUCUUCACUUCAUCUCGUACUUUUAAGUACUUGAUGUCCAUCAAUCUGCUGGCAUAAGACCUCUUGUUAUUCUUCGAAAAGAAAACUGCAGCUUUGUUGUCACAAUACAACUUGAGAGACCUUUCAACACUGUCAACGAUUUCCAAUCCUUUCAUCAUGUUUUUAAGCCAAAUGGCUUGUUGAGUUGCUGCAUAGCACCCUAUAAAUUCAGCUUCCAUAGUUGAAGAUGCAAUACCUUUCUGUUUUGCACUCUUCCACGAUACUGCACCAUUAGCCAACAGAAAGAUAUAUGCAUUAGUUGACUUUCUGUCGUCCACGCACCCUGCCAAGUCCGAAUCCGUGAACCCUACCAAUUCCAGCUUGUCCACAUGACUAUAAGUUAACAUAAAAUCUCUUGUUCUUUUGAGACACCUCAGUACCUUUUUCGCUGCAACCCAAUGACAUACACCAGGAUUUGAUUGAAACCUACCAAGCACACUCAGUGCAAAAGCCAAAUCUGGUCUUGUGCAUACCUGAGCAUACAUGAGACCCCCUACAAGAGAUGCAUAGGGCUUGUCUUUCAUUCCCUCAUUCUCUAAUUCAUUUUUGGGACAUUAAACACUACUCAGUUUGUCUCUUUUGCCGAUAGGCAAUUCUCCAUUCGAACAUUUGUCCAUAUUGAAUCUUUUAGCAUCUCUAUCGAUGUACUACCUUUGAGAAAGACCAAGAGACUUCGUAACACGAUCUCUUACAAUUUAUAUUCCCAAAACAAAUCGAGCUUCCCCCAAGUCCUUCAUGUUAAAGUUUUGAGUGAGCAUACUCUUAGUUAACUGUAGUAGAGACAUAUCAGAGCUAGCUAAUAAUAUAUCGUCUACAUACAAUACUAAGAAUAUGACCUUCGCACCAAGGACUUUCAGAUAAAUACACUCAUCCAUUUUGUUCUCUUGGAAACCAGAAGCUGCCAUUACCUGAUCAAAUUUCUUAUUCCAUUGCCUCGAGGCUUGUUUUAAGCCGUAUAUAGACUUAUUCAGUUUACAAACCAUCGUCUCAUUCCCCCUUUCAACAAAUCCAGGUGCUUGUUGCAUGUAAAUAUCUUCUUCAAGAUCUCCAUUUAGAAAUGCCGUCUUGACGUCCAUUUGAUGAAGUUAUAAAUCAAAAUGUGCUGUGAGAGCUAGAAUUAUUCUCAUGGAAUCUUUUGUUGAGACUGGAGAAAAUGUCUCAUUAUAGUCAAUGUCUUCCCUUUGUGUAAAGCCCUUCGCCACUAACCUUGCUUUGUGUUUGUCAAUGUUGCCUUAUGAGUCUCGUUUUGUCUUGAACACCCAUUUACAACCAAUAAUUUUUGUUGUCCCAAUUGGCUUUGGAACUAAGCUCCACACACUGUUUUUCUCCAUGGACUCCAGUUCUUCAUGCAUGGCUUGUUUCCAUAAUGUUGAUCUUGAACUUGUUAUGGCUUGAUUGUAGGACAAGGGAUCAUCUUCAUCACCUAUAGUAUGUUCUGCCUCAUUUAGUUAUGUUUAUACCAUAUUUAGGGCCUCGUAUUUAGAUCUCGUACAAAUACUCGGAGGACUUAAAUGUAAUUAUAUGAUAAAGGAAUGGGCAAAUAUGUAAUAAAAGAUGAGUCCUUAUUCUAUAAAAGGACCACUCACCCUCACAAUUAGGGGAGGCCAAUUCCUAGGCCUUCUCACCCCCUCUCAAAGCUCUCACUCUCAGAGCUCUCUCUCCCUUAGAAAUACAAUAUCAGUGUGGACGUAGCCCAAACUUUGGGGUGAACCACGAUACAUCUUGUGUUAUUUACAUUUCAUGCAGAUUCACGGUCGGAUUUACGUUGUUCCAAGACCUUCAGUUUUGUGCAUCAACAAGGUAUACAAAAUCAGGCAACAAUGUUGCCUUACGUACUCGCUGUGAUUUUCGAAUAUUUGAUUCAAAAACUGCAGUUACUGGAUCAUUCAUAAGAUCUACUUCAGUUAAUUGUACUGGUGCAUGUACUUCAUGUUCCUGGACGUCUGCAUAGGGCACAUACUCCUCAUUUGUUGUAUCAUCUGCAUAAACCGUAUGUGAAUUGUCAUGAAAAGGUUAUGGCUGCAUGUUCAUGGGAAUAAUAAGGGUAGAUGGAUGCUGAUCAAUAAUGUCACUAUCAAGUGUGAUUUCUUUGAAUUUUGAGGAUGUAGUUGCUGAUAUGCUGAUGUCAGUUUCAUCCCCAUCUUCAAGAAAUCUUGCAUUAUGGGUUUCCAUAACCCUCGAGUGACUGUUAGGGCAAUAGAAUUUAUACCCUUUAGACUUCUCAGAAUACCCAAUGAACUUGCAACUGGUGGUCCAUGGAUCGAGUUUUUUCUCUGUUGGAUUAUAGAAUCUGGCAUCGGCAUUACAACCCCAUACACGAAAGUGAUGAAAACUCGGUUUCCUUCUUGUCCAAGCUUCGAAUGGUACCAUGUCAACGGACUUGCUCGGUACACGGUUCAAUAUAUAAUUUGUAAUUUUCAGUGCUUCUUCCCAAAGAAACAUUGAAAGCUUUGAAUGUGCAAACAUGGAUCGAAUCAUGUCCUUCAGGGUUCGAUUCCUUCGUUUAGCAACUCCAUUUUGAUGAGGAGUCCCAGGGGUAGUAUACUGAGCCACAAUGCCAUUUUGUUCAAGAUAAGUUGCAAAAGGUCAUUUGUGUUGUCCAGCCUCAGUGAACUUGCCAAAAUACUCACCACCUCUAUCGGAUCUCACAAUCUUAAUGUGUUUUUCUAGUUGUUUUUCAACUUCCAAAUGAAAUGUUUUAAAACAAUGCAAGGCUUCAGAUUUUUCAAAAAUAAGAAAAACAUAUGCAAACCGUGAAAAAUCAUCAAUGAAGGUUAUGAAAUAUGAUUUUCCACAUAUGGUCUUAAUUGGAAAGGGUCCGCAAAUAUCAGUGUGUAUAAUUUCCAGUAGAGAUUGGCUACGGUUUGACCCUAUUUUCCUAGUAUUGGUGAGUUUUCCUUUAAAACAAUCAACACACUCUUUAAAGUUGCUGAAAUCAAGUUGUGGCAACAAGUCUUGUUUUGUAAGUGUGAUGAUUCUUUCUUUAGAGAUGUGCCCCAACCUUUUGUGCCAAAGCAUUGAGGUUUUUUCAUGAGUGAGCACUUGUUUGAACCAGCACUUUGAACAUUAAAACAUUCAAUCUCAUACGUACAAUUCAUUUGCCACGUAUCAACUUUAAGAUAUGCUUCACUAAGUAAUUUAUUCAUGUCAUUGGAAUGGAAAAACUUUACACUUUGACUGUCACCCACUAAUGUAAAGCCGGAUUUAACUAACUUAGAUGCAGAAAUUGAUUUCCUUCUCAUGGAAGGUACAUAGAGUACUGGACUCAAAUCUAAAAUAAAGCUAGAGGAAAGAACUAAUUUGACACUUCCUAUGGAUUCGAUAGCAACUUUGCUGCCAUUCCCUACAUAGACAUUGUAGACUUCAUUGUUUAUCACCCUUGUUUUUUAGAAGCCCUGCAAAGAAUUAGUUAUGUGAAUAGAGCAGCUUGUGUCAAACCACCAACUUUUAGGAGGAAUGUAAACUAAAUUAGACUCAACACAUACAAAAAUAUUUAUUUCGUUACCUUUCUUAACAAGCCUAUUCUUGAAGCCAUUGCAGUUCUUUCUUAAGUGACCUAUUUCUUUGCAAAAAUAACACUCUUUUUCUUUCUCAAGUUCAAUGUUAACAUGCUUUAUUUUAUGAGAUCCUUUAGAGAUGAUGUUAGUAUUUUUAAAUGAAGAAGAAAUUUCUUUCUUCUUCUUCUUACCAGCAACCACAAUUGAACUUUGAGUGAAGUCCUUUUUGCGUUUUUCACCUUGCACAAAAUUCACAUCUACUGAUUUGUCACUCUUGAGCCGAUCUUCUUCUUGUGCACACAUAAUGAUCAGUUCAUCGAUGCCCUAUUUGUCUUUUUGAGUGUUAUAAAAAACCUUGAGCUGCCCAUAUUUUGAAGGCAAGGAGUUCAAGGCCAUAUGAACUAAGAACUGGUCAAUCAUGGGUACUUCGAGAUCCUUCAACUUCUAAGCAAGAUCAACCAUCUUGAGAAUGUGUUCUCUGACACUUCCCUCACCAUCAAAUUUCAUAGAGGUAAUUUGAAUGAGAAAAGUCCCAGUUUCAGCCUUGUCAAAUUCUUUAAAUUUUUCCCCAACUGCAGCCAAGAAGUCUUUUGCAUUGUCUUGUUUUGGAACACCCCCUUUAACUGAUGGAGCCAUAGCCUUCCUUGUAAUCAUCAGGGACAUUCGGUUUGUUCUCUCCCACUUUUCAAACUUUGCCUUAUGAUCUGCAGUGCUCUCUGUAGUAAUAGCUGCAGGUUUUUCCUCCCUUAAUGCCAAAUCGAGAUCCAUAAGGCCAAGAACCAUUUCAACAUCCUCCUUCCACUUCUUGUAGUUAGAACCGAUCAGAGUCUCAAUAUUGUUGAAAUUGAGAGAUGUCAUAUGAGGAGCUACAAAACCAAAUAUUAAUUUUUAUAGUUCUUAGUCAUUAUGUAUCAACAAACAGAAGAAAAGAUUACGCCUAAUCUUUUCCCAACAUAUAAUCAUAUAAACAUAGUAUCAUCUUUGGACAGAAACUAUUUAUACUAGAUUUGCAUAGCCAAAAUAUUGAAAACGAGGGCAGUUUACAUAACUCCAACACUUUUAAGCAGAUGAAGAAUGCAAUCUUGUCAAUUCAAUAUUUCACUAUACAUUGAUUGAUUUAUUUAUUUAACUUGAAUAAAUAAACACUUUUGAGCAGAUUAUUAUUCACUUGAUACAAAUAAAUCACAUGUCUAAUCCUUUAGACAACAACAAAAUCAACAAACUAAACACUUUUGAACAGAUUAGGUGUUGAGAUCCUUGUUUACGAUUCAAAUUUUAUUUAUUAGUUCGGUUUUGACAAAUAAAACAUGAAUCCAAAAGUUCUUCUGGGUUGAGUGUUCCAAUAUUGCAAUUGUUCUUUGAACGAUCUUCUCUAGACAAAAAUAGCAAACACAACUGGAGGUAUACACGGCAAUAUUUGAUUAUAUAUAUAAAUAUAUUGAUCAUGCAAAUUUCUUUGUAAGUAUGCAACGGAAGCAUUUAAUGACAUAGGAUCAAAAUAUAUAGAUCAAUCAAAUCGAAAGUUAACCAUAUAUUAAAUAAAGAACCCUAGUCAUGUUAGGUUGGCUCUGAUACCACAUGUAAGCAGUAUAUCAAUAAAUAAACUACUGCAACACAUCAUACCAACACUACCCUAGGAUUACCAACUAAUAUCAGAUUCACCAUAACUAGAGAAACACCAGUUUAUAAUCUGCAAGACACUUACCUGGAGGCAUCGCCAUUGAAGAAACAACAGAAGAAGAAGUCUUCUACUUCCAACACUUGAAAGUCUCUUCUCUAAGUGAAUAGGGUUUUAGAUAAUAUUGAGAGCGUUAGUGAGGAAGCAGGGACUUCAACUAUAUAUAUCCAUCCAUUUUGCUAGAGAUUCACUCGGUCCAGCCUAUUAUCAGAAAGAGUGAUAAUCUCUAUCUCUUAAUAAGUUUUAGUCCUAUCAUGACUCUAUAUACUAGUAUAUAUUUGAUAAGGAUCAAAAUAGAACAGCUGCAACAUACAAAACUCCACGAUUCUUGUCAUACCAAAGCUCUCAGACUCCUUGUGUUUCGCAUAACUAGUAUGACUAGUUAAACGCCACCCAAGUAGUCCAGUUGUAAUCUCAUUGUCAUUCAAACAAGUUUUACAAGUUUCACAUCACAAAGAUAGACAUUGCAUAGUGCUCUCUGUGCAUUAGCCACACAAACAACUCAGCUCACACCAGAGGCACCAGUAGCUUAUUAUAUGGCCGAUAUAAUUGUAACAAACCACUGCAUUUAUAUCUUGUGGUGUCCGCCACGAAGCUUCUCUAUGAUCUUGUCCAUGAUCCCUUUCUUUUCGUGGUUCUCCUCCGUGUAAGCGGUGCCGCCGCCGGAUGGUGUGGUGGUCGACGUAGUAGUAUGUGAGUAGUGGGGGUUAUCCUUGUGGCCAGUACUCGGCAGCUUGUCCUCGAUCUUGUCCGUCAUCCCUUUUUCCUGGUGGUGCCCUCCUGGGUCGGUGGUGCCGUAUGUUGUGUCAGUUGUAGUUGAGCCUGUGAGCUUUUCAUUUAUCUUCUGUUGCAGCUAGCUUCUAUCGCUAGCACAUGUACUUGGUGUUGGAUAAAUAUCAACAAUCAACGAUAAAUUUAUAUAUGUUAAUAAAUAAUAAAUACAAAUAAAUAAUUUACCAGAGUAUAAACAUAACGAAAUAAUAUUAGACAGACAAAUUGAAAAUCAAAGCUUGCGUACCGUAAUGUCCUUGAAAUAUAAAUUUCAUCCCUAUUCAGUGCUUGUAGUUCUACAAACGUCUGCUUCACCAAUAUUCAAUUGACACACCCCGACCUAAAUCAGGGCGUGUUGGCCGUCACGUAGAAGUGAAGUAACCAUGUGCAUAGUGCGGAAACAAUAAAGAUAUAAGAGAAAUAUGAAUGAAUAAAAACCAAACUACUAGCCUUACUAGUUAAGAUAAGGUGCUAGAACGAGAUUAAGUGUGAAAUACACAACUAGAGCAUAAAUAGCCUAAGUGCAAUCAAGCAGGACAAGUACUAAUUUACAACACUCAAGGGUGAUCCUACAUUUAUGAUGUUCUGUUAAAACCACCGUUGAAAUCCCCGUGAGCCACCAAAGCAUUUCCACCUAAAACCUAGAUGGGCGCAAAACAGAAAGUGUGAGUAGGCAAAAACAAAGUUUUGCAAAAUCAUUUCAUUUCUCAAAAGUUCUAACCCCUCGCCCUAAAACCUGUAUAAUUUCCCAGAAAAUAAUAAUAAUAAUAAUAAUACUAAUAAUAAUAAUAAUAAUAAGCUGUAUCAGAAAUCAUACUCAAGAUGAAAAUCCAUAGAAGUAUACCAUGCCAAAGUAUCUUAAUGCAAUGCCAUAAAUAAUCCAGACAAAAUAUAUCAAUGUCAGGUAUCGCAUCAGCUGAAUCCCUCUAACUCAAACUGUAUGGUUGAGUCUAUAGCUCAUAACCAAUCUCAAUCAUAUCAUAUCAAUUCUUGCACACGAGUCGGAACCACCUAAAGUGGUCUGUACGACAAGAGUAGGUGUAAAAUAAAUAUGCUCUAGUGCUACGAUCACAUGAAGGCUGUGCGAAUAAUCGCGGGUCACUUACGAGUCGGAACCAUCUAAAGUGGUUUGUACGAAAAGCCUUUGCACCUAACUUGGAUCCUAGGUGAGCAUAUGGUGCGAGAGGUGAAUGUCACGUGAAAGACUGUACCCUAACUUUGGACGGGAGCACUAACACCAAGGUGCAUGUUUAUGAGCUCUCAAUACAUCACAUCAUAUCUCACAUAACUGAAGUAACCUCAUAUCUUUAAUUUAUGAACUUACCUAGCACUUACCUGUGCGUCUGCAGCACCAAUCAUAAAUAUAUGCAACUACUAAUGCAUAAAUAAAAUAGGCAGAUACUUUACAUGGCAUUUCAAAACGUAAAAUCAUUCAAAUUCAUUUUUUGGGAAAAAUCUCAAAGUUUAUAGGUAUAUACGGAAAACCAAAAGCACACUCAUUGAUAUGUCGAAGGGUCGUAGCCCUCGAGCCUCGAUUGAUGGCACUCGUCCUUAGGAUAGGUCUCACCUAUAUGCGAAAUAACUGAAUAAACAUUAUUUAAAGCACAUACACAAAACUAAGAAAUAACUUCUCAUACAUUGCUCAAAUGAGGUAUUUGAAUAUACCACCAUGAUUUACUCAACCUCAGGAACAUCCUCAUAUUUUUAGAAAAAUUUUCCGACCUCCCACGCCCCGCCACGCACCGGCCAAGGCAUGGCCAAACGUGCUCCCAUGCGCGGCCAAACCCUAACUGAGCCUAACGACCAUUAGGAAUAUUCCGUUAAAACCUUAACAAAAGUUAAAUGCGUUACCUGACGCCAUUAGAAUAUUCUGUCAGACUUGACAAAAUAUUCUCCUUCAUAUUCCUGGGUUCGCCGGAGAAUGUUGUCGGAGCCGCUACGAUCGCCUGAAACUGGGAAAAUAAUCAAACCUUCAUAUCUUCCUCAUUUCUCAACCAAAACUCACGAAAUUUAUACCAAAUUGAAGCUUACAACAAGAAGAACAAAACCUUACCAAUUUCACGCCUAGAAAUCCAUGGGAUUUCAUCGGAUAAACCUCGAUAAUUCGGCCAAAAUUGAAACUUGCCAAACUUAACUUCCCGACAUCCAAAACACUUUGUUUUUCUUCUCCAAGCUUUGUGAAGACGUCCUAAGGCUCACUAGCAACUUAAAAUCUCCUAAAAACUUCACAUUCACGAUCAUAUGAACAGUGCCUUAAAACUGGGAUUUCUGGUUCUCGGGAAAACAAGGUCUUCACGUCAAACUAAAGGCAUAGAUGACCACCUGGACUCACGAGGAACACAUAAACAACCUCCUCGACGUCGAUCCGUGAAGAUAGGGUAAGGUUUGGGUGUUGUCCAUACGAGUACGAAAAUGGCAGAAAAUUCGAGGGAAGGAGAGAGAGAAAGUCAACGGGAAAGGGUUUGUGUGAGUGUGUGUGGUCCAGCUGGGUCACCAAUCAAAAUAAAUAAAAGCUUAAGUUUUAAUUGGAUCCAAUUAAUUAGGAAUAGAGCUAACUGGCCUUUUUUUCUUAGCCCAAUCUACACAACACCACGAAACGCUCAAGGGUACUUUAGUCUUUUCACACCACCGAUGAAAUAAUUCAAGACGGGCUGUGAUCAAUGAUCUAAGUUAGAAUUCCAACACCGGAAAACUUGACUUCUGGCUAAUUUCUUUGUGGUUCUCUCAGUAAGAAUGUUUGGGAUUGUAGAAGAAUUUUAUGUUUCUAUGUUCUAAAUGUCAUGCAGAUUGAUGUAUAUAUAAUAGGUUUAUGCAUGUUUGCAACAGGUAUGAGAAUGGGAUGAGUUUGUUAGGAGACAUCUUCUCAAAGGGGUGCUUUGUUCUCUGGCGUUCUUUCAUCACUUCAGACUUCAUCUGAAAAGAUGAGUUUAUUGAUAUAAAAAAUAAUUAAUUAAUUAAAAAUAAGUAAUUAAAAAAUUUAAUUAUAAAGCCCAAUCUCAAACUUGAGCCCAAUUUUAUGAUCUAUGACCCAUUACUCCAUUCACUCUCUACAAGGGACAAAAUCUUAUAAAAUAAAAAUCUUUUAAUAGUGACUAAUAUGGGAUCAUAAAAUUUCUACUCAAAAUUUCUAACACUUAAAAGCAAGCUACAGCUACCUCAAAUCAAUCAAUGAAACCGCUCCCAGUAGGUGGGCGGCGUGCUCGUCUUGUGUGACAAGACCGUAGAGCGAGUGGCUCUUCUCUGUGUGAACUUAUCUUGUGUGACAAGCCCAUAGAGCGAGUGACUAUUCUAGAUGAAUUCGAACUUGAUAUUGAUAUCAGCGGAGGCGUUUGCAAGCGGGCAAACUAAAUAACAUGUUCAUGUUCUUAUUGCUAAUUUGUAGGACCUUAUUAAACCAAUAUUGCAACAGUAGUUAAACCGGAAUUACCGUUACUCGAACGAGCACUAAAUAUAUUAAUAUAAACGACAGACAAAGUUACAUAUCACAAAGACAAACGAUACUGUGUAGUGUUCGGUGCAUUAGCCGCACCAGAGCUGAGCUCGCACCAGGCUCCGCUAGCUUAUUAUAAGAUUCAACAACACUAAACCACUGUAUACAUACUGUAGGCUUUUAUUAAUACAGGAAUGGUAUAUAAUGUCUACUGGUUUCCUCCGGGAAGCUUCUCUUUGAUCUUGUCCAUGAUCCCCUUCUUUUCGUGGUGCUCCUCCGUGUAGGUGGCACCGCCGUAGGGAGUUGUGGUCGUACUAGCAUGUGUUGUGGUUGAGUAGUGGGGGUCAUCCUUGUGGCCAGUACCCGGCAGCUUGUCCUUGAUCUUGUCCAUCAUCCCCUUUUCCUGUUGGUGCCCUCCUGGGUAGGUGGUGCCAGCGGUGCCGUAAGUUGUCUCAGUCGUGGUUGAUCCCGGGAGCUUCUCCUUUAUCUUCUGUUUCAACCCCUUCUUCUUCCUCCUCCCACCUAGCCCAUCAUCCUCCGACUACACCAAAAUAAAUACACGCCGACAUAUGAAUUUCUUUUUCAGAGGGAAUUACAAGUUAAUUAACAAUAUUAAUAUUAUAUAAUUAGUGUAUAAAAGAAAUUGAUGAUCAAAUCCUGCCAAUAAGAGUUGGAUCUUGCAUAAAAAUUGUAUCUACGCGAUUGUAUACAAGUUAAAAAUUUCCGAGGGAAUAACUUCUGUUUUAAAUGAAAUCUAUCUUGUUGUAUUAAUUAAAAAUUAGUAAACAUGCUACAGUACAAACAUUCUCAUGAAUAUAUAUUCAACCCUAAAUGUUGCAAAUCAAUCCACAUUUGCAAGGUGUACAUAGAGCAGAGAAAUGUUUUAGUUAAUCGAAACACGCCUAAUACACCUGGUCUAAUAAUGCUACCAUUAAAAUUUUUGCCUAUUGACCAGGUGACAUGAUACAAAUAACAAUAGGGGACCGCCUACAUAUAGAGAAAUUUUUAUUGUAUCAGAACACGCCUAAUUCACCAGGUCUAAUACUAUCGAUUAAAUAUUUUACUAGUUUCUAAUAAUACAAUUAUAUUGGGGUACUGGACCUUGCUACAGGCGCAUUGAAAAUUUUCUACGUGCUUAUAUUAGGAUUGAACAUAAAUUCAUGCGUGUGUGCCUAAUUAAGCCUAACCUUUUUGGCUAACUUGGUCAAUAGACAAAAUCAUGGUACGCGCUAUUAAGUGAAUCCUACGUAAAUUAACAUCACAUUUUCAUAUGAGAAAAAAAUAAGAAAUCACUUACAGAGCUAGAGCUUGAGCUGCCAGAGCGGUGGAGCGCGCCAGUGACACCAUGGUGCUCUUUCCUGCCGUAAUCGUGACCAGUGGUCGCAGCGGCUGUGUCAUGAGCACCGUAUCCUCCGGUGGUGGCACCUGUAGUAGCACCGCCAAGUGGGUUCCCGUACUCGUCGGUUCUCUGGAUCGGGUUGCCGUAGGCGUCGGUUGGCUGUGCCCCGUGUUGAUUAUGCAGAUGCGACAUUUUUCAAAUAACACAAUUUGAGUAUGGAAGUCUGGAUAAUUUUGUUUGGGAUUUGAUGGGAUUGGAGGGAAAAUAUGGCGGGAUUAUAUAGGGAACCAACAAAACACGCGUGUCACAGUAGGGUUUCUUACUUCUUACACCUACGUGAAUAGUGACCUUCGAUCCUGAUGACACGUUGGCUACUGGGACACCUGGCGACGUGAAAGAGGAACAAGUGUAUCCUGCUGUCGGCAUAGAAUAAUCAGAUAGAUAAGAUUAGAUAAGGGAGUCAGUCCUUAUCAUGGAGUUAAAAAGCUCGUGACACUCCACCGCGUCUGUGACUUUACGUGGUUGAUAGAUAACGACCUCUUGGAUAUGUUCAAGAUUGGAACUUGGAAAGCAUGGCAUGGUUACGUUUUUUACACAUGCAUGGCCGUGUAAUUAUCUUGAUUUUUCUUUUUUAUAGACGUGGGGAAUUUGGAUACGGAUGAAGGGUGACUACGUACACUUGCUUUGUAAUUAUCUUGAUUUAGAUUUUUUUAAUAAUUUAGAAUUUUUUUAUAAGAACUUUCAUGAAAAAAACUUGGACUAAAUUUAUUUUAAUAAAAACUCAUGUUAUAAUUUUAUCUAAUGAAAAAGACUUAAACUUUAAUGAAAAGACAUAAUUUUAAUAUUUUAAAAAUAAAAAAAACUGACACGCGGACUUACGCGCCCCUUACACAAACUAUUUAUGAAACUUAUUACAUUAUUUUGAAACUUAAUUGUACUACACUGUUUAUAAAAUUUAACGGUACGACACUGUUUAUGAAACUUAUUACACUAUGUAUGAAACUUUUAUGAAACUUAACGGUACAACACUAUUUAUGAAACUUUGUACACUGUUUAUGAAACUGUUGACCCUAAAAACUACCAAGCCUACGUUGUGUGCAGGCCGAGUAAUUAAUAAGCUAACUACGUCAUUCGGUUGUGUGCGGGGUGUGCCAACUUGUUGGCCGAGCUCGGUCAAGGAGUAAAAUUUGUUGAUGUUGCGUUGAUGCGCUACUGACUUCUCGAUCUUGCAAUUGCGGUUGAGGAAGGAACACUCUCGGCCUUCGGGUUCUAAAGCCUAAAGACAAGGCUGCUAAUUCUAUGAAGUUCAAUAUCAAAUUCGGCUCCCAGGGUGCCGAAUGUAGUAACCUGGUAACACCUCACUUUGCCGAGAAGGCUGAUGAGAUGACAUCUGCCAAUAAGGAUUCGAAAAUCCUUCUCGACCAAGACUUGGAUAGAUAACCAAUCGGUCUCGUCGCAGUGCUGUUUAUCCAAACUUAAGGUACUUCGCGAUCGGCUAAUUCUACGGCAACAAUGCUAUUUAUCCAAACUGAAGAUGUUCGCCGAUUGCCUUCACAGUGCUGUUUAUCCAAACUAAAGAUGUGCUGGUGAAAAAGAAAAUAAAAAUCUCAAGGUUGUUGACAGGUUUCUCGUAAAGCGAAAGUUUGCGUAGGGUAGUUUGUGUGUUGAGUUGGAGGGGCUUUUUAGCCGCUUGAUAUUUAUAGAUAUCUGCAGGCCCAAGUCACGAAAACCAAUCCUAAUUGCACUGUGACUCUAAGUCUUUAUUGGUUGCUAACCCCACGUCUUAUCAAAACUUGUUGUCAUCUUGUAACCCGAUGCAAUCUUGUUUUUAACUAAUAACCUUUAUCCAUUAUCAUCAUAACCUUUAUCCAUCAUCAUAACCUUCUGUUGAAGACCACAUGCAUGCAUGAUGACUAAUUCACCAACUUAAACUCUAAAAAGUAAUUUUAACUGAUGAAAUAUAAUCACCAUAUCCCUUAGAUACAGCCACGUGCACCAAUCACAUCCAUGAAUUCCAAGUCAACUUGAAUUGUACCACCCACUUCUAUAUCAGAAAUAGAACUUUGGUUUUAAUAAUAAUCAAUCACAUAGGAGAUUGCAUGCACCUGGGGCCUGAUAAGAUGAGCCUAUUCAAAUGUCCUCGCGCGCUCCUCUGAAGACGGAUCAGAUCAUCUUUUUCCAAAACAACUAACUGGAUAUAUCAAAUAUUAGGUUUAAAUAUCCUAGUUAUUAUUAAGAGAUAAUAUUAUAAUUAAAAUCACAAUAUCAUUUCUCAAUAAUAACUAAAAAUUAUUUCAACCACUUUAUCAUCCAACGGUCUAAAACCCUUCUCAUUCAACGACCUCGAUUACUCAGGCCGAUAAUGUAAAAACGGGUCCAAACAGAAACUUAACGAUACUACAUUGUUUAUGAAACUUAACAGUAGAUACUCGUCCUAGAUUUUCAAGUUCUUUCACUAGAAUGCAAUAAAAAGUUUUUUUUUUUUUUUUUUUAACAUGAUAGAGAUCAAUGUCCACACUUUUAAAGUCAUGCAUGGCUAAAAAAAACAUGAUAAAGAUCAAUGUUAACGCCCACACCUGACCAACUCCCUCCUAACCAUACAGCCGCAAAUGUGGUUUUGAAUCGAACGAAACCCACUUCAAUUUGAAAUUUUAAUUUUAGAGGAAUAAAAUAUGCUUGGAUUAUGUCAAAGGGUUAUGCAACUGAAGGAUUGGUUGGGUGCUCUUUGCACACGCUUUUAGUUAGGUUUUUUUUUUUCAUCCUCUUGUCCUUAUCAUUAAAUAAAGUUAUAGCAUAGUUUUUUUUUGUUAAAACUCAAAGUUUUGAAGCCAUUUUCAUUAGCUUUUUUUUUAUUGAUUUCUUUAUAUCUUUAAUUAAUCACGACAACAUAUAGAUUUCGUUUAGAAGUACUUUUAUAAUGACUAAAAUCGCUUCUAAUGGCAUGGAUUGUGGGUUUUAAAAACAUUUUAAGUGCUUUUUGAAAGAAGCUUAAGAUAUAUGCUUCUUGCAUGAAGCAUAAGAUAUAUGCUUCUUACAGGAAGCACAUAAAGUUUUUAUUUUAUUUUAUUUUUUUAAAUCCACUUGAAUUAUUAAAAAUUGGUUAAAAACAUUUAGACUGAAAAUGUUUUUUCAGUCAUUUUAAAUAUACUUCUAAGUGAGCUAAUAUAUAGAAGUUACAACUUUUCGCAAAGUUUUUUUUUUUGGUAAAUGUGUAAGAUUUAUUACUGAACCACACUAAAAUUUACAACAGGUGAGGUCCCAUUACAAGAAAAGCCAAAAAGAAAAUAUGGAUCCCCAAAACAAACCCAAACCAAAAGUUUGAGCCCAGAAAGAGCAAAAUAAACAGAAAACCCUAUUUUCCUUGUAACCGCCGAGAAUGUAUCACCGCAGAACGUUCAUCCAAUAGAUGCCAAAAAUCCAGCCAAACAAUUCCACAAAAAUGAUAGACAGACGACCCCACCAACCUUCACAAAGCACCAUAGAUGACAGAUUUGUAGCAAAACACAUGAAGCUAGUGAGAGAACUCAUUAGCAACAUAGUCACCAAAGGCAACAAAGUCGUCGAAGACAAAUCCAUGGGAGGUGGUGGUGUAAACACCCGAGCUAGAGCAAAACACACUUUUCUGAUCCAUGAGAGGUGGUGGUAAGAUCACCUGCAUUGAAGCUCUAUGCACAUCCUGAAAAAAUCGCGACAAAACACGAUUAAGAAAAGUAGCUACAAAUCAGAAAUCAAAUGGGUUUGAGGAAAGUCUAGGAGGUGGAGGAUGGGAAAGAUGGUGAAAAGAAAUUGGAAUUGAUGGUAUAGGAUUUGUAAAAUUAAAGCACAUAUUGGUGACGAACCAGUGAUUAUGCGAAGAGUUUGAGUCUAUUGUUGUAAGGCAUGACAAUAAAUGCUCAUGAAAUGUCAUCACAAGCACAAAUGCCAUCAUAAUUUUCAUAUUAAUAUUUUAUAGUUACUUUGAUAAGACAAUCGAUGUGUGAAUAUAACGAUUUACACAAGGUAUCCGCCUAUUAACCAUGGAAUCACGUAGUAUAUAUAAUAUUAUUCACUUGGAUAAUCUUUGUACAUUGUUGGGAACUUUUUGAUCUAGUUGAAUUUUGGCCAUGUGGAAACUUCUACUUCCUCUAGUUCGUUUCCAGUACUAAGUUCUAAGAUACUUUAAAAGAAUUAGUGCAUCUUAAGAAACAAUUGUUAAUUCAAUGACUCAAUGACUGAAUAAUUAUGAAAAAUUAUGAAUUGCCUAAAUGAAGUUGGGCGUGAAAGCUAAAAACUUAUCAAUUUAGCAUAAGAAAAUGUGUACAUGCUUGCAUGGUUUUAGGAAUGGCUAACUUAAGAGUUCUUAAUGGUAUGGGAAAUUUGAAGUGAAUAUAAGGAAAACUUGAAGAAAUCCGUGGAAGGUGAGGAUAAUUCCUCAUUUAAGAAUCAAGGUUUUUCACACUUAAGAGAAAAAUUUGCUGUGUCUGGUGCAAUCUUGUCUUGAUUCCUCUUCCUCUACGAUGUCUCCCACUUUCAUGUUGUCUCCCUCUUAAAUCUUUUUUUUUUCUUUCCAUGAGUGCAGUUAUAACUUCCCCUUUUAGUGUAAGGUUGAAGAACAUUACUAGCCUCAUGAAGAUUGCGCUGAACGCACUGGCCAAUCUUCUGGUCAAUUUUAACAAAUUUCUCUUUUAGAAAUGUCCAUCUUUGUUUUCUUUCUUUACUUUUCUAUGUAAACUUAGUUUAUUUUAUUUUUACACAACCGGACUUCGAGAUGUAAUUAAACUUGUACAUAAAAUUUUUGGACCUAACAUAUAUCAUCUCGUUAAAUAGGUUCCCGUUGACAAAGGAAGAACUCAUCUUUAUGUGUAUAGCAUUUUUGGACUACACGUCAAUGUGUUGUAAAAGUCAUAUUGAUGAUGUCCUAAUCUUUGACCAGUGCAACUUUGUGUUUAUCUCCAGCCGUGAGGAGAUAAAAGAGAAAAUAAACACUUUCAUUCUUUUAUGUUUUUUUCUUUUCAAAUUACAGAUUUUGUUAGAUUAUCCAAGAUUUCGUCCUCAUAUAAAAAUUUUAACAUUUUUUCACUAUUAUGGUAAAAUGCUACUUGCUCCAUUCAUUUAUGUUAAAAUAAAAGAAAAAAUGGAUAAUUGUUAAGCUAAAUAAAAAUUAGCUGAUGAAUAUGGCAGAUUGUUUUGUUAGUUAUGUUCGUUUCAGUGUAAUUAAAAUAGAAAUCUCAUGUUAAAAUUUAAAUCUCUAUGUAUUUCUCUUGUAUUUAAAAUUUUAAAAUUUUUUAGGUUUUGCUAUUUUUUUUUGUCCAUUGACAUUUUUACACUUACAGAAAAAAAAAUUCGGCUAUUUAACCAAUGAAUAACUUAAUUUGAUAUCAAAUUCGUCAUCCACUUAAUUCAAAACCUCACUUACAAGUGUGAGAGGUACCAGUAGAUCACUUGCAUGAUCAUUAGUGAAUAUCUUUUAGCUUUUAACUAUAUAAUUCAACGUAUCAAAAUUUUCUUUUUACUUGAUUGCUAUAUCGUUUUUAUUGACAUUAAGUAAUACCUGCUGAAUCAUUGAAUUUACUGGGUAGCAGUUAAACUUAAAAGCAUAAUACUAUUCUCAAAAAUAACAAAAACAAAUAUACUAUUAAUACAAAGGGAACGACACACAAAAUUACACAUAACAGAAACCAAAACAACAGUGCGCAACGAUGGAUCACCCACGCACGGAUCACGCAACCGAGGUCCGACCAGACACUCUUUUAUUAUACAGACUGGCAUUUACUUAUAGUUAUGUGAAACGGGAUGAUUAUCUACUCGGCGUGGCCACCAGGAAGCUUUUCUUUGAUCUUGUCCAUCAUGUUCUUCUUUUCCUGGGGCUCUCCGGUGCGCCCAGUCCCACCAUAAGCUGCAGCAGUAGUUGACGUGUCAUGAGAAUACUGGUCAUCCCUAUUCCCACCUGGCAGCUUCUUCUUGAUCUUGUCCGUCGUACCCUUCUCCUGGUGUUGCUCGCCUACUUUGUAAGUCGUCCCACCACCGUAAGGGGUAGUGGUCUGCGUUCCACCAGAGUACUGGUCAUCCUUGUUACCACCACCUGGUAGCUUCUCCUGGCGUUGCUCUCCUACCUUGUAAGUCGUCCCACCACCGUAAGGGGUAGUGGUCUGCGUUCCACCAGAGUACUGGUCAUCCUUGUUACCACCACCUGGUAGCUUCUCCUUUAUCUUCUCUUUCAGUCCCUUCUUCCUUCUCCCACCUAGCCCAUCAUCUUCAGACGACUACAAUAAUAGAAUGUUAGUUAGACCUGGUUACAAAAAAUAUAUGUAAAUAUAAUGCACAUAUGAUACUUGAAUACAAAGAAAUUGUUCCAUCUAGUAAGAUAAAAUGUUGAUGCAAUAUUUGAAUUUGAAGCAUUGAUUGUGUUGAUAUUCGAAAAACCAAAAUGCGCAGAUACAUAAGUUAUGUGAACAAAAUACGCUAAUUUCCGAAUAGCAUUGUUCGAGAUAAGACAUUUAUACUGUCAAAUAUUGUGUUAUUAAUUUAGAUCACUGAUUAAGUUCACCAUAGUACGCACAGUUUUUCUUGCAAAAGUACUAAAUUGGACAAGCGAAAAUUGUUGCUUGUCUGGUUUUCCUAGUAACAUACGUCUAGGGAAAAGUUUGUUCAUAGUGCCCACAUAUUUGCAGCAUAGCUCAUGCAUUUAAUGAAUUAAGUUGGAACUACAUAUAUAUGGAGGUGAAAAGAGAUGAACUUACAGAGCUAGAGCUUCCUGAGCGCUGAAGCACAGCGGGGCCGCCAUGAUGCCCAACAAUCCCUUCAUCACGAGUCUUAGGAUCAGCAGUCCCGUAGCCGGUAUUAGUCCGACCGUGUUGAACCGCGUUCCCGAACUCGUCGGUCCUAUCGGCUCCUGCGCUACCGUUGUAAGUUGGGUUCCCGAAGUACUCCUCGGUAGUUUUUUCGGCUGUUGUAUUACCAUAAUUCGACAUAUUUCAAAAGAUAAACAAACAAAUGAAACUGUAAUAACAAUGCCUUGCGAAGUUGCGACUAAUAAAACUUCAGUGACAAUACUUAUGAUUUGUUUGGGAUGAUGUGUUUAAUUUGGGUCUGGGUUCGUUGGUUUAUAUAGACAACUGACCUGCACCAGCAGGGCAUGCAAAUAUGGUUGUGAGCGUAAGUGCUUUUUAACAACUUGGAGACGUGGCACUGAGAGGAAAAUGAUGACAGGUGAAAAAUUAACGUCGGCAAGAUAUUUUGUUGCUUUUUGGGUCGGGCAUAUGGAUAAAGAAUGAUAUACAUAUCUGUUCCAUUAGUGACCAUGGAUUUGGUGACACGUGCCCUCCGUACCUGUUCCACUAGCUAGCUCCACGUGGAUACUCUCUUUUGGUUCUAGCCUUCUAGGUCAUAUUGUCUAGUAAUUUCAAAUGAGAAGUGCACUUCAAAAAUUACACUUUACAUUUCUAAUAAAUGUAUUUUUCUUUUUUAAUAUAUAAAGUUUUAAGUUUAGAAUGAGAUUUUUUGAAUGCUAAUAACAAUUCUCUUUCAAAUUUAAUCUAUAGUUUCUCAAGAAGCCUAUAGUCAUAAGACUCAUAACUUAAAGCCAUUACGAGAUGAUUUAGAGAUGAAUUUUAAAUUUAUAUUCUACGUAACAUGUUUUAAGUUCAAUUUCUACGACUGAUAAAUUGUACGAUGAUGAUAAGAGAAAACUAAAUUACCUCUGUAAGCUUUUUUCAUUCUUAAAAAGACAAACUACUGUAGUGAAGUUACCAACCUGUUCGUUUUUAAAAGAAAAAAAAUGCAAACUCACAACUUUGCUGGGAAACUGAGAGCUUUUUGACUAGGUAAUUUGGCAUGUCUGUUGGUGAUAGCCUUCUAGGUCUUCUUGAUCUUACCGACACUAUCCUACGAGUUAUUUUCUCGUUUUAAUUUUUAUUUAGAUUACAAUAUUCACAUACUGUUUUUUACACAAAAAUUAAUUUGAGUAUGAUCCCAUUUUUUUUUUUACAAUAUUCACAUAGUUUUUUUUUUACUUUUCACACAUAUUUCUUAAUUUUCAAUUAUUUAAUUAAAUAAAUUGAAGAAGAUCUAUGACGAAAAAUUAACAAAAGUGUGUUAAUAGAACUUUUCUAACUUAGACAUAUCUCGACAGACUUGGCACCAUUAAAUCUUCUGCUCCACACUAAUUUUAUACACUCCAAAUAAAAGUGAUAUUUUUUACAUAAAAUUAAUUUGAGUGUGAUCACAUUUUUAUGUCAUAUUGAUGUACUAUAUAAUGUAACAAAUGAUGCAGGUAUAUAAUUAGCAUCUAAUGAUAUAAAAUUUAUUAAUUAAUCUUGUUGAUGCACAAAAUCGGUGAGGACUUUGGUACAACAGAAAGUGUUAAGUUUGUGACCUUCGCUAAAUUGCUCUGGUCACUAGUGUGGAUAAGUAUGUAAAUGGAUAGAGACAGGGAAGCAAACAUAAGAUGUACGUGGUUCACCCAGAUUGGCUACGUCCACGAAGUAGAUGAGUUCUCAUUAAUUGUGAAGGGUUUACACAAGUACAUAGGUUCAAGAUCUCCUUUAGUGAGUACUAGUGAAUGAUUUAAUACAAAUUACAUUAGGAAAUAUUGUGAGAGAAUGAUCUUUAUUUAUAGAAGAGAAUUUCUAGUUUCAUUCUGACAUUGACACGUGUCAUGUUGUGAUUGGCUUUUGAUGUUGACACGUAUCACGCUAUGAUUGGCUUCUGAUGUCGACACGUGUCGCGCUGUGAUUGGCCUCCUGGUUGGAGGGAAACUCUUCUGGGUCCUUGACGGUAUAACGUUGAUCGGUGCUCAGUAGUUUCGGGAUUGGUCAAGUGUGGUACAAACAGUGCUCCCCUAAGUUCCCGAGUGAGGGAAGCUCCUCGGUUGGGGACUUGCAAGAUCCAAGCCAUUGAGUAAUCACAAAACUUCUAAGUACCGAAGUGUGGUAUCAUUUUCACUUGCCUUAUCCGUCUCAUACGUAGAUGUGGCAUCUUCUCUGGAAGUACUUUUCCUCCAUCCAGGGGUGGUAUCUUUAACCGAUGAAGAUGCACAAGGUAAUGUAUCAAUUUCACUUGAAGCUUACUUGUAGUUUCGAGCUUGGUCAAGUGCGAUACAAAACCCUAUGGUAGGAGUCCCCCAAGUCGCCAAGCUAAGAGAUUUGCUGAAAGAGGUAACAGACAAGGUAAGCAAUCCGACUUCCAAGCAAGCAACCUGGAUCGGAGGUUCGACUUCGGCUUCCGGUUGAUUUUUCUCCUUCUCCUUGUGUCGUAAACAGCAACAAUGAUAAGGAGAAGCAAAUGGAGAAGAGAUGAUAUAAGAUACUUUUUCUUUUGAAGAAGUAAUUUUCCACAGGCUUAUUCUUAAACUGGGCAUGAGGGUUUUCUGGUUUCCUCCAGAGUAUAAGGCCGACUCAAGAAUUUGAGGGUCAAAACAAAUCCAUCAAAUCAAGAGUGCGUUUGACCUUGAUGAUAUGGGAUACUUUUGUUGUUGACGAAGUAAUAGAUGAAUUAGCAUGUGUUCUAUUGCGAUUGUCUCCAUAUGCUUCCUUGUAUCAUUCUCACUUGCCCUAUUUGUUCCUCAGGCAGAUGUGGUAUCUUUUCUGGAAGCAUAAGAUGUUGAAGAUGAGUACUCGAGAGCAAUGCCAGGUAAGUAAUCAGGCAAGGGGUUCUAGGCAGUCAGUUCCUGACUGGAAGCUUGAUUCCAAGUGCUGAUUGAUUGCUUUCUUUCUUCUUGUCUUGCAGUUAAGAACAAUGGCAAAGGAAAAGACAGGGAAAAGGCAUGAUAUGGGAUACUCUUGCUUUUGACCCUGAUGAUAUAAGAUACUCUUGCUCUGGUGUGGCUGGUUUGCAUAGGUAUUAUUGGGGGAGGAAGAAAGCUGAGUAUUUCGAGAGGCUUCGUUGGGAAUGCCCUAUCAGAUAUGAGGAAAAGUUAAGCAUUUUUGCAGGUCUGCCUAUCCGUGGAGGAUGGAGUUCGACAUAUAUAGGAGUCUCCCUAACAACAAGUAGUAAUGUUAUUCCUUUACCCUUCUUGGUCGUAGCAAUGUAAUGGGAGCUGCAAGCUUCACGUGUUUUAACUUUGUUAGAGCACUUUGAAAAAGUGGUAUGUGGUAUUUAGAAAGCUGAUGUUGCGUGUGAAGAUUGCAGACAAGCUUUAUCCAAGGAAAUCUGGCUCUCGAAGUUCGGAGAGCGAUGUCUCUUUGGUUUUCGAACAAGCAAUCCUGUCAGGGAUUUGGCUCUCGAGAUUUGGAGAGUGGUACCUCUUCGAUUUUUGAGAAAGUAAUCCUGUUGGGAGUCUGGCUCUUGAGAUUCGGAGAGCGGUGCCUCUUCGAUUUUUGAGAAAAUAAUCUUGUUGGGAGUCUGGCUCUCGAAAUUCGAAGGGCGGUGCCUCUUCGAUAGCAAGUAAUAAUGUUAUUCCUUUACCCUUCUUGGUCAUAGCAAUGUAGUGGGAGCUGCAAACUUCACAUGUUUUAACUUUGUCAGAGCGCUUUGAAAAAGUGGUCUGUGGUAUCUGGAAAGCUGAUGUUGCGUGUGAAGAUUGCAGACAAGCUUUAUCCAAGGAAAUCUAGCUCUCAAAGUUCGGAGAGCGGUGCAUCUUUGGUUUUCGAAUAAGCAAUCCUGUCGGGGAUCUGGCUUUCAAGAUUCAGAGAACGGUGCCUCUUCGAUUUUUGAGAAAGCAAUCCUGUUGGGAGUCUGACUCUUGAGAUUCGGAGAGCAGUGUCUCUUCGAUUUUUAAGAAAGUAAUCUUGUUAGGAGUCUGGUUCUCGAGAUUCGGAGAGUGGUUCCUCUUCAAUUUUUGAGCAAGCAAUCUUGUUGGUAGUGUUUUCUCGAAUGUGAGUAAAGGUUGGGCAUUUUUGCCAGUCUGUCUUUCCACAGAGCACGGAGGUUGACACACAUUGAGACUUUCUAGUUAUUAAGCAAUGGUGCUGUUCCUUUACCCUUGUGGGUAAUAGUAGCGUAGCUAGACCUUCAAAAUUUAUGUGUCUAAACUUUUUCAGAGAUCUUUGGCAAAGUUAUUUGUGGUGCCUGAGGAGCUGAUGUUGCAUGUGGAAAGUGGUGCUUCUUCGGAAUCUGGAAAGUGGUGCAUCUUCGAUUUUUGAACCAACAGCCAUGUUGCUCUUUUUUUUAUAAGGGCACCAAUUGUGUGCAAGGAGUACAUUCAGAGAGUUAUUGCUUGUAGGAAUUUUCCCCUUACUUCAGAGAUUUAUUGCACCUCAUUUCUCCUUCAUCAUUUCUGAGAAUGUCUGGCCCAUCCGACCGUCGUUUUGACUUGAACUUUGGUGAAGAGGCAGCCAUGCCUUCUCAAGACAACAUACGACACCCAUCCUUCUUAUCUCCUACUGGUCCUCUUACCGUUUGGAACUCUGUGAUGAAGAAUGAUAUGACCGCUGCGGUGGUGGCCAAAAACCUUCUCACUCCCAAAGAUAACAGACUAUUUUCCAAAUGGUCUGAUGAGUUGGCUGUUAAGGAUUCUUUGGCUCUCAGUGUUCAGUGUGCAAGUUCUGUGUCUAAUAUGGCCCAACGCCUAUGUGCUCGAACCCGCCAAGUUGAAUCAUUGGCGGCUGAAGUGAUAAGUCUCAAAUAGAAGAUCAGAGGGCUCAAGCAUGAGAAUAAACAGUUGCACAUGCUCGCACAUGGCUAUGCUACAAACAUGAAAAGGAAGCUCGACCAGCUGCAGGAAUCUGAUUAUUAGAUUUUACUUGAUCAUCAGAGGUUUGUGGGUUUGUUCUAAAGGCAUUUAUUACCUUCGUCUUCUGGGGCUGUACCGCGUAAUGAAGCUCCAAAUCAACCUUCGGUGCCUCCUCCUUCUGGGGUUUUGCCUAGUACUGAGGCUCCGAAUAAUCACCCUCUAGUGCCUCCUCUUUUUGGGGCUCUGCUGACUGCUGAGACUUCUCCUAAGCAACCUUUGUGAAGGCUCCCUCUUGUUUGUUUAUUUUGAUUCAUGUCUAUGUACAUAUUUGUAACUUAUUGGAGAUAUCAAUAAACAAGCUUUGCUUCAUUUCAACGUAUUGUGUUAAAUACACCAAGACCUUCUUCACUAAGUUUCUUGAAUUUUUCCUUUUGUUGAAGCUUGUAUGUUGAAGCUUUGUGAGUGAAGCAUGUAGGUUGAGGUAAUGCUCCCUCCCUUAAUUUCCUAAGUGAGGAAAACUUCUCGGUUGGAGACUUGAAAAAAUCCAAGUCACUGAGUGGUCGUGAGACUUCCGAGUAUCAAGGUGCAGUAGCAUAUGGUAGGAGUCCCCGAAGUCUCUGGUUGAGGGAGUUGACGAAGGAGGUGUCUUGCUAGUAGCCAAGUUUCCAAAGUAACAAAACUUCACAAUUUUCCUUUCUAAGUGGUAGCCCAAAACUCUUUUUUCAUAUAUAUUUGUUAUAAAAGUUGUUAGGCCCAAAGAAGAGGAGGCCUAGGCUUUUUUAUUUUUUUUUCAAUUUUUUUUUGUUUUAAAUUUUCGAAUUUUUGAAUUUCCGAAUAUAUAUAUAUAUAUAUAUAUAUAUAUAUAUAUAUAUAUAUAUAUUUUAAGCUUUAUAGGUGAAGCUUUGUGGGUGAAGCUUUGAGGUUGAAGCUUUGUUGGGUACCAUGAAUUGAUUUUGCUUCACACUAUCUUGAUCAAGAUAGUGUGAAGUUUUUGUAGGUGAAGCUUUUGUGUUGAUGCUUUGUAGGUGAAGUUUUUGUGGUGGGUGAAACUUUUGUUGGUGAAGUUUUUAUGGGUAAAGCUUUUUGUGAUGGGUGAAACUUUUGUUGCUGAAGCUUUUAUGGGUGAAGCUUUUGUGGUGGGGGAAGUUUUUGUGGUGGGGGAAGCUUUUGUGGGUGAAGCAUUUGUUGGUGAAGCUUUUAUGGGUGAAGCUUUUGUAGGUGAAGCUUUUGUGGUGGGUGAAGCUUUUGGAGGUGAAGCUUUUGGGGGUGAAGCUUUUGUGGUGGGUGAAGCUGUUGUGGGUGAAGAUUUUGUUGGUGAAGCUUUUAUGGGUGAAGCUAUUGUGGGUGAAGCUUUUAUGGGUGAAGCUAUUGUGGGUGAAGCUUUUAUGUUGAAGUUUUGUGGGUAAAGCUUUUGUGUUGAAGCUUUGUAGGUGAAACUUUGGAGUUAAAGCUUUGUAGGUGAAGGUUUUUUUUUGAAGCUUUUGUAGGUUGAGCUUUGGAGUUGAAGCUUUGUAGGUGAAGCUUUGGAGUUGAAGCUUUUGUUGGGUACCAUGAAUUGAUUUUACUUCACACUAUCUUGAUCAAGAUAGUGUAAAGCUUUUGUUGGUGAAGCUUUUGUAGGUGAAGCUUUAGAGUUGAAGCUUUUGUUGGGUACCAUGAAUUGAUUUUGCUUCACACUAUCUUGAUCAAGAUAGUGUGAAGCUUUUUUUGGUGAAGCUUUUGUUGGUGAAGCUUUUGUAGGUGAAGCUUUUGUUGGUGAAGCUUUGAAGUUGAAGCUUUGUAGGUGAAGCUUUGGAGUUGAAGCUUUUGUUGGGUACCAUGAAUUGAUUUUGCUUCACACUAUCUUGAUCAAGAUAGUGUGAAGCUUUUGAGAAUUUAUAGUUGUCCUCCAUUGAUGAAGCUUUUGUUGGUGAAGCUUUUGGAGUUGAAGCUUUUGUUGGGUACCAUGAAUUGAUUUUGCUUCACACUAUCUUGAUUAAGAUAGUGUGAAGCUUUUGAGAAUUUCUAGUUGUCUUCCAUUGAUGAAGCUUUUGUUGAUGAAGUUUUUGUGGUGAAGCUUUGUUGGGUACCAUGAAUUGAUUUUGCUUCACACUAUCUUGAUCAAGAUAGUGUGAAGACUUUUGAGAAUUUGUAGUUGUUCUCUAUUGAUGAAGCUUUGUUGAAUUUCCUUUUUUUUUUUUUUUUUUUUUUUGGGAAACUAGAAAUUUGAAAAUUUGGGAGAGACAAUAUAUACAAAUUUUGCUUCCACACUGUUGAGUAAGAGAUUGUGAUGCAAGCCACACCUUGUAGUAGUCGAAGGUUUGGAUGAACCAUAUAAAUUGAAUUUGCUUCGAAGGUUUAAGAAUUGUAGUUGCCCUCUAUUGAUGAAGCUUUUGUUGGCACCACAAAUUGGUUUUGCUUCACACUAUCUUAAUUAAGAGUGUGUGAAGCUUUUGAGAAUUGUGGUUGUCCUCCAUUGAUGAAGCUCUUGUUGGCACCAUAAAUUGGUUUUGCUUCACAUUGUCUUGAUCAAGAGUGUGUGAAGCUUUUGAGAAUUGUGAUUGAACUCCUUUGAUGAAGCUUUUGUUGGCACCAUAAAUUGGUUUUGCUUCACACUGUCUUGAUCAAGAGUAUGUAAAGCUUUUGAGAAUUGUGGUUGCCCUACAUUGAUGAAACUCUUGUUGGCACCAUAAAUUGAUUUUGCUUCACACUGUCUUGAUCAAGAGUGUGAAGCUUUCUACGAGUUGUAGUGUUUGGAUUGUUACAGAGGGGAAAUGUCUGAAGCAGAUGCAAGAGAGCUGAAUAGCUUGAUCUUCGUAUGCCAUGCACUGAAGUUGUUGUUGACUUGUAAUAAGACUUUGUUGGUGACUAUAACUCUUGUUGGGCAUAAGUGCUCCCCUAGUUAAGUUGUCAAGCUUGAGGGUUUUUUAUUAUUUGUGAAUGCUAAGAGUUCACAUGUAUAAGUUAUACCACACAUCUUCUAGUAGGUGGAAUGAAUGGUGAGUUGCUUUCAUCACUUGGUUGGUGGUACGAAGGUGAGUUCCUUCAUCACCUUUCAUCACAUUUCAUCACCUGGUUGGUGGAACGAGGAUGAGUUCCUUCUUCACCUGGUUAGUGGCAUGAAUGGUAAGUUGCCAAAUGAUAUUAGAGUACGGGUUGUACAUAUCACAUGGUUGGUGGCAUGAAGAUGAGUUCCUUCUUCACCUAGUUGGUGGCAUGAGUGGUAAGUUGCCAAAUGAUAUUAUAGUACUGGUUGUACAUUUCAUCACCUGGUUGGUGGCAUGAAGAUGAGUUCCUUCUUCAUAUUUCAUCACCUGGUUGGUGAGAAUAAGGGCAAGGUGUCGAGGCACAUUGUAGCAAGUGUCAAGGACACAAAGUAUGUUGAACCCUUUCGAAGCACAGUUGGCUUAUGUAUGGAUGUGUUGGAAUGUAUAAUAUUUAUGUUGAUUGAUAUAAGUGAUGCUUAUGAAUGUUUUGCUAUGCAUGAAGGGAUUCAUGCUUUUGAUAUGUGAACCAUGUUGGUUGUAACACUUAGUAUCACAUACUUUGUGUCAAAGUACGCAUGUUGAAGCUCUGAGUUUGAGUAUAAGGGUAGGUCAGCAUAGACCCAGUGUUCCAGUGCUAGGAACGCAAAAGACUCAGAAGAAGUUCUCUGAAUUCCCUCUUCUUUAAAUAUUUUCCGAAUGACUUGUGUGACAAAAGAUCUCAAGCGGUUGAGGGUUAAAACAUUUGUAACGUGUAUGCCUUCUUAUAAUAGCAUUUCCUUCAGUACUUAGUCAUCCACUUUGAAAGAGUAAGGCUGACCCUAUAGUCAUAAUAGUCGACAGUACGUUCACCCCUGGUUGUCUUGAUACAAACUUUUAUCCUUCUUGUUGUAAUGGGCUUGCUGAAAGUAAAAUCAUUUCUCUUACCAAGAGACAGAUACGUUUGGUGACUUAGCAAGUAGCUAAAUAAGGCAAGAGAUGAUACAAUGGGUGUCUGAAUGGCCAAUAUCUCAUCACUUGGUAUAACUUGACUUCCACUUCCCAUUUGUUAAUAGGGGUUAACCAUAUGGGGCUUCCCUUGGUAUGUCCUUGCUUCGGUGGAGGCGUGGUUGUAAGCAUGUGUCAUCACCUCAGAGUAAGUCUUCCAAGUGUUGGCAUUGAUCAUGUACUUGAAGAAACAAUCACGUAGGCCUGCCGUGAAGGCCUUGAAGGCGAUCUUGUCAUCUGCCUCAGCGCAUCGAGAAUACUCAUGGCUGAAGCGACCGACAUACUCUUGUAGUGACUCGUCCGGCUUCUGGCAAAUAGUGUACAAGUCAUCUACAGAAUGUAAGUGAUCGGUCUAGAAGAUGUAUUGAGAGGCAAACAGUUUCCUCAAUUCCUCAAAUGAGUCUACUGUCUCAGGUAGAAGACGGCAAUACUAGUUUAGAGCUCCGCCAGAGAGGGUGGAGGGGAAGAGAAGACGUCGCUUUUCGUCGGUGUGUAUCCGAUAUGUCAUGGUGGACUCAAAGAGGUUAAGGUGUUUAAUUGGGUCAUCCCUUCCAGUAUAGAGUUGUAAACCAAGCUUUUGUUUUGUCUUUGCUUGAAUGGGGUGUCGAGGAUCUUUCUUGUGAGAGGGCCAUGCCGGGGUUGGUUCCAGUCAGGUAUCUUGGCCUGACGUUCGGCCUUCAACUUGUUUACUUCCUCAAUGAGCUUUAGGACAAGGGGGUCAUGAGUGGAGUUAUGUACCACUGGAAUUUUCUUUCGUAAGUCUCAAUCGCCUCUUGGAAGUAAGAAAGUUUGAGCAUGGGCAUGUGGUUUUUUCUUCGACUCGCCGUACUGACUUAUAUGGCGAGUAUAUCGGAAUACCUCAGAGUCCCCCGUACUUUCAUGCUUCUCUGGGACCUGUUGUUCCUUCCCUACAUUGGCAGCUGGCCUAGGUUAUGGGAGGGGACCGAAUCUUUCAGAAACCCUUGGGUCAUUGAUCUUCGAGCAUAUGUGGAAGGGAUUCUCUCGACGUUGCUUUAGGAAGUCUCGGUAGUCACGAUAAACGGCUUUCGAUCCUUCCAACCUUUCUGCAAGGAGGUGUCUUCUUCCACUUCUUUUACUUCGGGUCGAAACAUCUGGGUUGAGAGAAAUCUCAUGUUGAUCAAUGUUUUGAUGAUUAGCUCGCUCCUCAUCAGGGAUACCCAUGUCGAAUGGAGGUGACCCUCUGUGUUGAGGGGCACCCAGAUGAUGGUUAAUGUCCACAAGGACAACGAGCUCGCAUGUUUGAGUACACCUAGUUUCAUGGAGCAUCUCAAAGAGCUUCUCAUACUGCUCCUAGAGGACCUCAUUCUUCAUUGCUAUCUUGUUGUUCUGAGCUUCUAGCUUAUCAACUUUAGCUUGAAGAGCAACCUAUUUCCUUCGUUCUUUCGUUGCUUCACACUAGAUGCAAGAGAGGUGUCAUUCUGUGUGCUGUGGCUUCCUUCGCUCUACAUGUUGGAAAUGGAUGCCUGGUCAAAAAAGAGUGUAUGAAUGGUGGAAACCAGCUUGGCAAAGCUGAAGAGAGUGGGAAUAAGUGUCUUUCCCACAGACGGCGCCAAAUGUUGAUGCACAAAUUCGGUGAGGACUUUGGUACAACAGAAAGUGUUAAGUUUGUGACCUUCGCUAGAUUACUCCGGUCACUAGUGUGGAUAAGUAUGUAAAUGAAUAGAAAUAAGGAAGCAAACACAAGAUGUACGUGGUUCACCCAGAUUGGCUACGUCCACGGAGCAGAUGAGUUCUCAUUAAUUAUGAAGGGUUUACACAAGUACAUAGGUUCAAGCUCUCAUUUAGUGAGUACUGGUGAAUGAUUUAGUACAAAUGACAUUAGGAAAUAUUGUGAGAGAAUGAUCUUUAUUUAUAGAAUAGAGUUUCUAGUUUCAUUCUGACAUUGACACGUGUUGUAUUGUGAUUGGCUUCUGAUGUUGACACGUGUCACGCUAUGAUUGGCUUCUGAUGUCGACAUGUGUCGCGCUGUGAUUGGCCUCCUGGUUGAAGGGAAACUCUUUUGGGUCCUUAACAGUAUAACGUUGAUCGGUGCUCAGUAGUUUCGGGAUUAGUCAAGUAUGGUACAAACAAAUCUAAUAUGUAUAAUUUGUCACAUCAAGUGAUACAUAAAAAAUGGUGCAAAAAUUUCUCAACAUUUUCUUUGACAUAAAUGUGUUCAAAUAGUAUUAUUUUCAAGCACAUCAGUAUUCAUUCAAAAGUAGCUCGUCCUUUUUUUAUUUGCUAUUUUUGUUUUGAAUAUACCCUCCUUCCAUUUUCACUAUAUAUAUUAUUUAUUUUUUAGAAAAAAAGGAGACAAUUGGUGGUAAGUCAUUUUAUCUACUCCUUUUGAGUCCGAAAAGACUAUGGAAAUUUUCACUCUGCUCGUGACUACAGUCAAACAAACUACUCAGUUCAGAGCAUCGAACUCAGGACCUUCCAUAUUUUUUUGUUUUUUGGGGAGCUGCAAUCUAUGCCCUUACCACUGAGUCACUUGCUGUGGUUUUCCAUUUUCACUAUCUACUCUCUACGUUUAAGUGUGGAUUACAGAGUCCUCAGCGAAUUAGAGUUAACUAAUUCAAAAUUAUUUUAGUCAUUAUUGCAGGUAUAUAAGAUUGUACUUUUUAAUUGUAAUUAGUGUAAGAUUCUUAUUUAAAUAGGAUUAAUAUAACCAUUUAUCCACCCUUGGACUUCGUCGGACAAUGAUCAUACUCCACUAGCUAGUUCAAUGGAGGCGUUGUACAAUUAAAGAAUUGGGUGUUUAUUUAACUUAACUUUUUGAUUAAUGAGAUUACAAAUCAAACAACGCUUAAACAGAAACCAGAGUUUUAUUGCUCUAUUUGCACAUUUGUCUUAUUUAAUUUGUUCAAUUCUAUUGAUUCCUUUGAUUCAACGUGAUCUAAUCUGGAGUUUAAUUAUCUCAAUUUGUUCAUUUAUCUUGGAUUAAUUAUUUUUACUUGACUAAUUGUUGGAUUGGUUGGUUGUUGAUAUGGGAAGGUGUUGCAUGGACGAAGGAGAAGGACAAGCUGUUCUUGGUGGAUUAACUCUAUAAUCAUUUGAUCAUAUGAAAACAUGGGAUCCUCACAACAGCCAGUUUUCUCCCAGGAAGCGUCGCUCUCUCAUUCUACAACCCAUUUCGCAUUCUCCUCAUUUUUAGAAUGUAAAACCAUUCGUGCGACUCUAGAAAUCCAGAGGAGGUAGAAGGCGACAUGCACGAGAGAUUUUUCAGUGUAACCGUCACACGAGAUGGUACACCAUGUGUCGUUAUAUAAAUGGUGGGAUAUGUGUGUUAAAAAGUUAAUAACUUAAAAAAUAAAUUUUUUUACCAUUUACAUAAAAACACGUGGUGUACCACUCGUGUUCCUGCCACAACUAAAAAUCUAGCACUUUAGGGGGGAAAACUGAUCUCGCUUCUCCAAAGAAAGAUUAAUCCGAUAACGAUUCCAUGCACUAGAGAGUUGAUAGGGCCGUUUCAGUGGCCAGAAAAAGAAAACAAAGAAGUAAGAGAUGGAUUUCCAUUGCAGAAAAUAUUUGACUUGAUGGGUACACUUAAAUAAUUUUGCAGGCCACAUACCACAAGGGAUAAGAUGCAUCAGUUUUCCACCCGACUACUUUUUGAGAAGAAUGUUUCAGCCAGGAAGAUUUUCUAUCUUCUUCAACAACACAACCAAUGCAGACGUGAGUGGUAAGAUGUCGUACAAAGACAUGGUUUUUCUCCAUACUCUUAUGUAUUCCUCGGUUUGUUAGAAACAUCAGCCAAAAACACUCUUAAUCUUCGAUUAAUAAUUUAAUAUUACUGUCCCCCCCUUUGCCCAAAAGCACUUAUGGCCCAAGCAAUCAUUUUUUUCUUCUAUUCAAUAUCUAUCUUACAUGAUUACUAUAAUCUUGUGUAUUUUGGAUUGUGAAGGUUCAUAUUAUAUAACUCAAUCAUAAGAAGGUCGACUUCAUUUUACAUUUGUAAUCAGUUUCAUUUUCUCCCCAGUUGCGCAAGAUUUUACCAUAUAAUUGAUUGUUGCUUAUCUAUAUAUUGAAGAUUCGGAUAGACGCCAAAGACUUUAUAUAUGUUUAGAAGAGAAUGAUUUUGUUUGGAAUGAAUGUGUCUUUAGUCAUCUCUCACGGAUGGAUUUAUAAGAUGUUACAAUCCUAUCAUUAAGGAAAGAAAUAAUUUACAUAAAAUCAUAAUAAACUAAGAAUCCCAAGAUUACAUGAAUAUAUACACAAAAGUCAACAUUCCCCCUCAAGUUGGUGCAUAUAUAUCACACAUGCCCAACUUGUGUAAGAAAAUUGAAAAUUUAUGACUUGAAACAGCCUUUGUGAGAAUAUCUGCUAACUGAUGGUCUGUUCUUAUUGUCGGUACCUCAAUUAUCUUCCUUUCUAAUUUUUCUUUGAUAAAGAAUCGAUCAACUUCAACAUGCUUUGUUUUAUCAUGUUGUACCAGGUUAUGUGCAAUGUCACAGGCAGUUUUGUUAUCACAAAAUAAUUUCAUAGGUUGAUCAUGUUCCAUACCCAUAUCUCUUAACAAAAGCUUAAGCCACAAAAUUUCACAAAUCUCCAAGGCCAUACCUAUGUAUUCAUCUUCUGCACUGGAACAGACAACCACAUUUUGUUUCUUACUCCUCUAUGUAACCAAGUUACCCCCAACUAAUGUAAAGUAACCUAAUGUUGAGCGUCUGUCAUCCACUAAACCUACCCAAUCUGCAUCAGUAUAACCUUCAAUUCUAAGAUUCUUAUUCUUUUUAAAUAAAUUUUCUUUUCCUGGACUUCCGUUCAAAUACCGCAAGAUUCUCAUCACUGCGUUCAUAUGUUGUUCUCCAAGAUCAUGCAUGUAUUGACUCACUACACUUAAGGCAUAGGCAAGGUCCGGUCUUGUAUGUGCCAAGUACAUUAAAUGUCAUACUAACCUUUGGUAUCUUCCUUUGUCUAAUGGCACUUGAUUAGGAUCAACGCUAAGCUUUAAUCCUUCCUCUAAUGGUGUAGUUACCAGUUGGCAAGCUGACAUGCCGAUUUCGUGCAACAAAUCAAUAAUAUACUUCCUCUGAGACAAGAAAAUUCCAGAAGUACUUCUCGACACUUCAAUCCCUAGAAAAUAUUUUAGGGAUCCAAGGUCCUUCAUCUCAAAUUCUUUAAACAUGUAUCUUUGCAAGGCCGUACGUUCUUCCGGAUAUUUUCAUGUUAUCACCAUAUCAUUUACAUACACAAUGAGUGCAGUAAGCCUCCCAUUUUUCCUUUUCAAAAAUAGAGUAUGAUCAAAGUUACUUUGUCUAUAACCAAACGCUCUCAUAGAUUUUGUGAAUCUUCCAAACUAUGCUCGAGGAGACUGUUUCAAACCAUACAAGGAUUUCUUCAACCUGCACACCUUUCUCUUGUAAUUAUUUGGAGCAUUACAUUCUGGUGGAAGAUCCAUAUAAAUCUCUUCUGUCAAAUCUCCAUGCAAGAAGACAUUUUUCACAUCGAACUGCUGUAAAGGCCAAUUAAGAUUUGCAGCCAAGGACAACAAAACACGGAUUGUGUUGAUUUUGGUCACAUGAGCAAAAAUAUCUGUAUAAUCGAUUCCAUAUUUUUAAAUGUACCUUUUUGCUACCAGUCUUGCCUUGAAGCGAUCUCCCGUCCCAUCAGCUUUGUAUUUUACAAUAUAGACUCAUUUGCAUCCCAUAGGUUUUUUACCAGCUGGCAAGUCUGUGAUCUCCCAGGUAACAUUCUUCUUUAAAGACUUCAAUUCUUCAUCCAUUACUGCUUGCCAACGUGGAUCAGCUAAAGCCUUCUGCACAAUGUUAGGAAUAGAUAUAGUAGAUAAUUGAUAUACAAAUGACUUACUUGAGUCUGACAUGUGGCUGGUAGACACAACAUUACUUAACGGGUAUAACACAUUAGAUUUUGGGUUUGGUCUAUUAAUUAGGUACCUAGUUUUGCAUUUAAGGUCUGCUUCGCAAGUAAGUUUAGGAAUACCUUGGUUGACACAGUUAGGGAGACAACAUGGUGGUGGUGUAUCCGGGAGCGAAGAUAAUUGAUUAUGGAUAUUAGGGCUCAAAGGUGGUGAGACCGAUUGUGAGAUAGCAGGCAUCACUGAGUUGUUCAAUGGUGAGGAAGUUGGCAAAGAGUUGUCCAAUGGUGAAGAAGGUACAACAUUUUCCAGCUGUGUCGGUUCGUCCCUUUCGAAGUUUUCAACAUUGUUUUCAUGUGAAUGAUCACCACUUAACUCCAAGACAUCACCACCUAAUUCCAAGUUAUUCACAUCAUUAUUUUCUUGUGAAUCAUCACCACUUGUCCAAGACAUCACCGCUUAAAUCCAAAUGAUUCACAAUAUUAUUUUCUUGUGAAUCAUCACCACUUGUCUCCAAUAUAUCACCAUUUAAAUCCAAAUGAUUCACAAUUUCUAUAUCAGGAAUAGUAUAAUCAAGAGUUUGAACUUCUACUUGAUUCUGUCCAUGAAGUCCAGACUCGGAAUGGACAAAGUACAUAUCGUUUUCAUGAAAUACAACAUCCACAGUGACAAACAACUUAGUCGGAGGGUGAUAGUAGCGAUAUCCUUUUUUAUUUGAGGCAUAACCCACAAACAUACACAGUAAGGCUUGAGGUUCAAGCUUACUCAUCUGUUGUUUAUUGUGAUGAACGAAGGCCACACAGCUAAACGCAUAAGGUGGAAGAUUUGGUACUACAUGAGCAUCAACAUGUGAAGAGAGAACCUGAAGUGGUGUUUGAAAAUCAACUGACCGGGAUGGAACAUGAUUAAUGAGAUACACAUAUGAGGUGAGAACUUCUCCCCAAUAUGACAACGGGAGACAUGCCUCGAGUAAGGAAGCAUGAACAAACUUCAGAAGGUGACGGUUCUUAUGUUCUACAACUCCAUUUUGUUGUGAAGUAUAUGGACACAUAGUUUGAUGAACGAUACCCUAAUGUUCCCAAAAGGCACAAAGUUCAGACUUCACAUACUCGCCACCAUUAUCACUUCUGAGAACCUAUAUUCGUGACUUAUAUUGCACUUGCACCAUUUUGUGAAAUUGCUUGAACAAGGAAGUAACUUCACUUUUGGACUUCAUCAAACAAACCCAAGUCAUACAUGUGCAAUCAUCAAUAAAAGUAACAAACCAAUAACCACCACCAAAUGUAGCAGUUUUAGAUGGUCCCCAAACAUCAAAAUGGAUUAUCAUAAAUGGAACAUAACUUUUUGUCAAACUGGGCGAAAACGAAGUACGAUGACUUUUAGCCAAUUCACAAACACCACAUUUAAAGCUAGAAACAUCAUUCUUAAGAAAUAUUUUAGGAAACAGCUUUCGUAAAUAACCGAAAGAAGCAUGUCCAAGUCUAUGAUGCCACAACCAAACCUUCAAAGCUUUGUUCUGCUCCCCUUGAGGUCCUUCCACAGUAAUAGCUUGUGUCAACAUCUGGGUACUGUUCGAUGUUAUCUCCAAGUAGUAAAGUUUCCCCUUCUAAUACCAUAACCAAUCGUCUUGCGAGUCCGAAUAUCCUUAAAGACACAAAAGGAAUGCCAAAAACUCACAAGACAAUAUAGGGCGACGGUUAUUUGAGAAAUAGAUAAUAAAUUAUAAUCAAGAGAAUGAACAACAAGCACGGUAUCAAGACUAAGGGUAUCUGAAAGGGAGACAGUUCAUUCCCCGAUAAUAGGGGCAAGAUUACAGUUGGUGACACUCACGAUAGUUUUGGUGGAUGGUUUUAAGGUUUGUACCUGUCUAGAAUCACAAGUCAUAUGUUCAGUACCACCAAAAUCAAUUAUCCACGUAUUAUUUGUAACAGAGGCAGAAACCUUUAAAGUCGUGAUUCCAAUUUCGCCCAAAGUUCUCGAGCAAAAGUCACGCCAACCGUGAAAGGAAUUAAUGAUUUAUAAAGAGUUGAAUUAAUCCAGAUAAGAAUGUUUUAAUCAUUCUCAAACCAAGUGACAUAGGCUGGAUUGAGAGUUGCAAUCUGAUUCCCUAACAAAUCAAGAAGAAAUUUGGGCACUGCCGCCAUAGUUCUAUCAAUUAGACUAGUGAGUUUGUAACAACGGAAGAUCGGAGCAAACAAAGCGUUCCAUGUCAGAUAAUUUGUAGUAGUGAGCUUGAUCGGAACCAUGGAUCCAAUAUUUUGGAUUGUAAUGGAAGAAGAAAUUGCAGAGUUAUGGUUUGGAAUUACAUUAGGAAACGAAGGAACAGGAGAAUCCGAUUUCGAAGAAGGAGAUGCAGAGGUCUCCAUAACUGUAGGUUGAAGAAGAAAGCAUGGUCAAGAUCAAGAAAUCGAUCAAUUGAUUGGAGAAGACGAAGAAAAUUAGGCGGUGCAGAGAGAAGCGGGAAAAUUGGAUCGAAGAGGUGUCGUGAGACCAAAGGUGGUUGAUACCAUAUUAGGAAAAGUAAUUUUCCAUUCAUCAAAUGAAUAACAUUACACUUUGGGUAUUUAUACAAAAGCUAUCACAACUAACAGACAAGAAAAACCUUCAAAAUUAACUAAAUUUCCUUAGUCUAUAAGCAUUAUCUCUUGUAGGUGUAAUUACAUUUGUAUUCUUAAUACAUACUUGGUACCAUACUUUUAGAAAAAUAUAUCUUAACAAUUACAAUGAAAAACAACUAACGCAAGACAUCUUUAGAGGCGCGUGAUUAGAAGAAUGAUACCAAUUGUAUAUAAAUAAACUAAAACAUAUAGCUUACAAAUGAAGCAAAAACAUGAAACCACCCACCAAUGGGAGUACUUUGUUUCUGUUUUUGUUUUUUUUAAGUUUUAAAUUUUAAAUUCAUUCAAAACUAAAAUAUGGUGAAUUACUUUUAUCUUCUUUUGGUUCAACUGUACUUUUUGAAAUUCUUAAAAGGCAAUAGGGUUUAAUGUGAACAUUAAACAUUGUACAUCGCGCAUAAUGCAUCAUAAUUAUAAAAAUGUUUUUGUAAAUAAAAAAAUUUCAUGCCCCACCGUACCACGUCGUAAUAUAAAAAUAAAAAAAAUAAAAAAAAUUAUAAAAAAAAAACCUUUCACAUGUGUAAGUAAUAAUUCAUGUACCUCAAGUUAUUAUUAGUGAAUAUCUUUUAUCUUUUAACUAUUAAUUUUCAUACAACAAUAACAACAAAGUCUUUUCCUACUAAGUGGGGUCGGCUAUAUGAAUCCUAGAACGCCAUUGCGCUCGGUUUUGUGUCAUGUCCUCCGUUAGAUCUAAGUACUCUAAGUCUUUUCUUAGAGUCUCUUCCAAAGUUUUCCUAGAUCUUCCUUUACCCCUUCGACCUUUGACCUCUGUCCCGUAGUCGCAUCUUUUAACCGGAGCGUCAAUAGGCCUUCUUUGCACAUGUCCAAACCACCGUAACCGAUUUUCUCUCAUCUUUCCUUCAAUUUCGGCUACGAUGGUUUGGACAUGUGCAAAGAAGACCUACUGACGCUCCGGUUAGAAGAUGCGACUAUGAGACAGAGGUCCAAGGCCAAAGGGGUAGAGAAAGACCCAGGAAAAUUUUGGAAGAGACACUAAGAAAAGACUGAGUACUUGGAUCUAACGGAUGACAUGACACAGAACUAAGCGCAAUGACGUUCUAUGAUUCAUAUAGCUGACCUUACUUAAUGGGAAAAAAAUUUGUUGUUGUUGUAUGAAAAUUAAUAGUUAAAAAAUAAAAGAUAUUCACUAAUAAUAACUUGAGGUACAUGAAUUAUUACUUACACAUGUGAAAGGUUUUUAUUUUUUAUUUUUUAUAUUACGGCGUGGUACGGUGGUGCAUGAAUUUUUUUUAUUUACAACAACAUUUUUAUAAUUAUGGUGCAUUAUGUUUAGGGCUGGAAAAAAAAUACCGAAAAUCCCAAACCAUACUGAAACCGAACCGAAAAAAUACCGAACCAAAAAUCCCGAAAAUUUUGAUACCAAAACCGAACUGAUCCCGAAUAUUUUGGUUUGGGAUUCGGUCUCACACUUUGAAUAAUUCGGUAUUCCCGAACCGAACUUUGCUAAUGUAACAUAUAUAUAUAUAUAUAUAUAUGUUAGUGUGUGGUGUGGUGCUGACAAAAGUAGGAUGGGUGUGUGGUGUGGUGAAGUAGGAUGGAUGGGUCAUGGGUGCUUGUUUUCUAUACAGAACUAUGUCUGUCUCUCUCUUAUUUUCUGUCUCAUCAGUCAUUUUUCUCGUAUUCUCUCUCUACAACCCAUAAACCACCUAACCCUUUAUCUUUCACUUAUUUUCCAUAUCUUCUCUCUCGUAUUGUCUCUCUCUCUCUCUCUCUCUACAACCCAGAAACCACCCCUACUCACUUCAAAACCGAAACCACCCUUCCUUCCACUCAAUCUAAAACCGAGCUGACAUCGUACUCUCUCAUUUCAUUUUGCCUUUCUCAUAUGCCUUCACUUAGUCUCAGACUCUUUCUCCUUCUCGGAUUCGAAGCUCAGCAGCCACCCACCGUUUAACAAUCUCACUCUGACGAACUGUCUCCACUCCAGCAACCACCACAUCUCACGACUUCAUCCCCACCUCUGGUUCUCUCAAGUGAUUCUCUGUGUUUGGGAUUUCGAAUUAAGGUUAGGGUUUCGAAUUGGGGCUUAGGGUUUCAAAUUGGGGGCUCGGGUCAGGACGAGGACGCAUGUCUCUCUCUUCACUCACCCUACCAUAAAUCUUCGCUAAUUCACUAUCACUACGUCUCUUAUUUCAAUUAGGAUUUUUAAUGGAGGUUCAGAUGAUUUCAAUUUCUAUCUAGAUGAUUUCAAUUAGGAUUAUUAAUGUUCAGAGUAUAUCAAAUUUUUAUUUUUUGCUUAUAGCUAUUUCGGUUUUACUAAAGUUACGUCAUACGUACCGAAUCAUUAAAUUUCACUUAGCAUAAUACAGCUCCCAGAUAUUAGCGCACACAAAUAUAUUAUUCAUACAAAGGGAACGAAACACAAAGUUACAUGUUUAACAGAAUACAUAAAAGACAGUGCUGGACGACUGCGUAUCACACAGCUGAGGUCACACACCAGGCACUACCUUAUUAUACACCAGACACAAAGUUACACGAGUAAAGAUGAUGAUCUACUUCUUGUGGCCGCCAGGAAGCUUCUCUUUGACCUUCUCCAUUAUGCCUUUCUUUUCCUGGUGCUCUCCUAUGUUCGCUGUCCCACCAUAAGUUGCAGCAGUAGUUGACGUGUCAUGAGAAUACUGGUUAUCCUUAUGCCCACCUGGCAGCUUCUCCUUUGUCUUGUCCAUCAUACCCUUCUCCUGGUGGCGCUCUCCUUCUCCAUCCUUGCUGCCACCAAAUGGCAGCUUAUCCUUUAUCUUGUCCAUUACACCCUUCUCCUGGUGGUGCUCGCCUUCUCCUGCAUAGGUGGUCCCACCGCCGUACUGUGCACCGGUGGUCGGCUUUGCAUGCAAGUACUGGUCAUCCUUGCUAGCACCGCCUGGCAGCUUCUCCUUUACCUUGUCCGUCACACCCUUUUUCUGGUGGUGCUCUCCUUCUCCUGCAUAGGUGGUCCCACCGCCGUAAUGUGCACCGGUGGUCGGCUUUGCAUGCGAGUACUGGUCAUCCUUGCUAGCACCGCCUGGCAGCUGCUCCUUCACCUUGUCCAUCACACCCUUCUUCUGGUCGCGCUCUCCUUCUCCUGCAUAGGUGGUCCCACCACCAUAAGGUGUAGCGGUCUGCGUUCCAUGAGAGUACUGGUCAUCCUUGUUACCACCACCUGGCAGCUUCUCCUUUACCUUGUCCAUCACACCCCUUUUCUGGUGGUGCUCUCCUUCACCUGUGUAGGUCGUCCCACCGCCGUAAGGUGUAGUGGUCUGCGUUCCAUGAGUGUACUGGUCAUCUUUGUUACCACCACCUGGUAGCUUCUCCUUUAUCUUUUCUUUUAGUCCCUUCUUCCUUCUUCCACCUAGCCCAUCAUCUUCAGACUACAAUAAUAGAAUGUUAGACCUUGUUACAAAAAAUAUAUGUAAAUAUAAUGCACAUAUCAUACUUAUAACCCUAAGAAAUUGUUCCAUCUGGUAAGAUAACAUGUUGAUGUAAUAUUUGAAUUUGAAACAUUGAUCGUGUUGAUAAUUGAAAAAACAAAAUGCGCAGAGAUGCAUAAAUCUAACAAGGGAACAAAAUACACUAAUUUUCCGAACAAUAUUCUUCAAGAUACGAAUUUGUAAUAUGUUAUUAAUUUAGAUCACUAAUGAGCCCAUCGUUGGUGCGCGCAAUUUUUCUUGCAAAAAUGUUAAAUUUGACAAUAGAAAAUUAUUACUUCUUUGAUUUUUCUAGCAACAUAAGUACCUCUUACAAGAAAAGUUUAUUCAUAGUACGCAUAGAUUUGUAGCAUAUCUCAUGCAUCUAAUGAAUUAACUUAGAACUACAUUUAUAUAGAGGUGAAAAGAGGAGAACUUAC
This 80355-nucleotide long non-coding RNA is filed under the name Malus domestica (apple). RNAcentral describes it as "long non-coding RNA (MDOM_LNC001547)". The record is from RNAcentral. Lineage: Eukaryota; Viridiplantae; Streptophyta; Magnoliopsida; Rosales; Rosaceae.